RNAcentral lists this long non-coding RNA (70643 nucleotides) under Triticum aestivum (bread wheat). RNAcentral's name for it is "long non-coding RNA (TAES_LNC010536)". Lineage: Eukaryota; Viridiplantae; Streptophyta; Magnoliopsida; Poales; Poaceae. The record is from RNAcentral.
ACUUGCAAUUUUUCAUAAAGAAUUCGGCACUUGAAUGUGUGACAAUCCAUGGAAGGUCUGAUUAGUUACAUCAAAGAAUACACAAACCCAAUCGUAAUACAAAUGAAGAUUGAAUAAAAACAACAUGUACCAUCAAAUCAAUAAUCCAAGCAUGGGGAACGAAUCCUCUGACCAAACACACCACACAAGCAAAGCAAACACACACCGCAUAAUAUGUACGUGCACGGGACUCCCCGUCGCGCGGCCCUGCACCAGCACCACGUACCUACCACUCAGAUGUGCACGUGGCAGUACACCCGGUCGAAGGAGCUGGGCGAGGCGAAGUCGACGGGCACCAGCGGGCAGCUCGCGCGCAUCUUGUACCGCCGCGUCCUCACCAGGCCGUACUUGAACCACACCUUGCCCCGGACGUGCACGUCCAGCGGCAGCGUCCCGGCGGACCGGUCCUUCUUCAUCUCCCGCUCCACGUCCCGCGGCACCGGCUCCCGCGCCGCGGGGGCCGCCACCACGAUCCUCGUCUCGUUGCGCGGCGGCUGGCGGAACCCCGGCACCUCGGCGCCGCCCAGGUACGUGUCGCCGUACCACACGCCGACGUCGAGCGAGCGGUACACGGCGGUGCGCUUGUUGGGGUUGUAGGCGCGGAGGACGAGGGCGAAGGUGCCCUGCAGCGCGCCCCCCGACGUGAAGUUGAAGCCGCGGACCGCCGCGUGGUCGACGGAGAGCUGCAGCUUCCCGGGCCGGACCGCCAGCCAGAUGAUGACGAUGAUGGCGACCACGACGAGCAGCGCGAACAGCGUCGCCGCGAUGCACUGCCCCGGCGUCGGGCGCGUGCGCCGCGUCGCGCUCAGUGGCCCCGCCAUUGAUCCCUUCCUUCCUUCGCCCCGGAGCUCAAGACGACGCACUGCUUGAGCUAGCUAGGUUCUGUGGGAGAGAGAGGUGCUCUGUCUUGGCUUGCUGGAAACGGAUUGCGUCGCCGCGUCUCUAUAUAGUGAGCUGCGGGGCGAUGCUUUGAGUGGCGAGGAGAGGUUUCUGCGAGGUGUCACAGCCUGUGGUUGGAGUAUACGUAGCAGGCGGUUUUGGUACGUUUUGCAUGCGACGAGCCGCCGGCCGUGGCGGUGGUGCAACCAGUUCUUUUCUUUCACAGGCAGCGGUCAAUUCGCCGUGGGCUCUAGAGUUUGGGCGGAGCUUUGGUUUUGGAAUCCUUCUGGCUCACUCCUACGUAGGAAUCGAUGCGCGGCAAGGAAGGGAAAGCAUAUUGACAGCCCACGAAUGGUGCGCUCACAUCACAUGUGGAGCUUUUUUUACUUUUGGAUCAAAAGACGGGGGUUUACGGAAGAACCCAAGAAUGCGGAGGACUCCGGAGAAAGGUCUCGCGCCUUCUUGAGUUUUUUUUUUGAACAUUGGCAGUAGAGCAGCCAAAAUCAUUGAUCAGAAGAAUCGCUACAAGAACCCAACAAUGAUGAAUAUUUACUUUUAUACAUGAUAUGUAUAUUUUAUUUGAAAUAUAUGAACAUUCAUAAUGAUGUGUAUGAGCAUAUCCCAUUGUUUGCAAUAUAUGAAUAUUUUUCAUUAUUUAAAUGGAUUAUGGUCAUAUGUUUAGAUGAUAUAGGUUGUAAUAAGAUCAUAUGGGAUGAAGGAAGUAUUAAAUAACCACAUAUUUCUAGAAAUGUAUAAAAAAUAUAUAUAAUGUGGGUUGUACUAGUGGCUAGGCUAUAUAGGAGCUCUUGAGGCGAUUUGUUUCAUGUCCUUUGCUAAAGUCUAAAUUUGAAAGAAAAAAAAUAGGAGCACUCAGAUUAGCAAAAUGGCUGAAAGUGGCGCUUACAGCUGCGUUUACAUGGAAGUCCAGGGCACCUAACCAGUGCCGCUUCUUUGCAUGGCUUGCCAUCAAGGACGACGUCCGACAAAUUAGCAAGGAAAGGACUACCGCACCAAAGCGGCUGCCCGUUGUGUGACCAACAUGAGGAGACCAUGAAUCACAUCAUGCUUGGUUGUGUCUUUGUUCAAGAGACCUGGACACGGAUUUGCAAGACUAUGGGAAAGUCGGAAAGGGCCCCACUAUCGCAAGAGACACUACCUGACUGGUGCAUCAGGCACGAAGAGAGUGGAGAGCAUCGGAAGGCGGUGAGGGCCAUGUGCCUCCUCGCCUUGUGGGAAAUUUGGAAACACCGCAAUGUCAUGGUGUUCGACGGAGCUAUGCCUUCCACACGACAGGUUUUACAUCGAUUUGUUGAUGAGGGACGAAUACGGAUUCAGGCAGGCCUACUACGCGGUGUAGCUGAGGGGUUCUUCAACAAGGUGGCAACAUGGGCGAGUAGUGAGUAGUCUGCAUAGGACAAUUAUUAUGAUGGAGGUGGCCGUUAGGUCACUUGUAAUUAAACUGUAACCGAGAUCACGGAGGAAGACUUCCCUAUCCUUUUUAAUAUAUGAUACGUACACUCAUGCGUAUUUAAGAAAAAAAAGAAUGAGUCUUCGCUUUAUGAACCGCUAAGGAACAAUCAAUUUGACAACCAGCUUAUUAGUUUGAGCCCACAAUCAGAUUUUUCUCCUUAGAAUCAAGCAGGUUAUGCGUCCAAUUUGUUUGAGCAAACUCGGUGCAGUUAAAUACUUCCUAUGUCCCAUAAUGUAACAUGUUUUUGCAAGUAGUUUGAAAAAAUGUUUUACAUUAUGGGACGAAAAGGAGUACUUUUCAUGUUUCUGUUUUUUUAAGUUUCUUGUUUAUUCUUUUCAUCAGCUUCCAAAACAUCACGAAGUGUACACAACCCACCUUAAUGGCCCAGUUUAUUAAUAAACAUGUUAGGGGGCGAGUGAGGUGUUUUGCUUGCCAAAAUUAACACGCUUCGAAGUUCCAAAAUAAAAUGUAAGCAUAUAUGUAUGUGUGUGGCCCCAGAUAAAAAAUAUUGCUUUCAGAAAUUUUAGACAAAUAUUUUAGUGGCAGCGUAUAUGUAUGCUUUUUAUGGAAGGGCGUAUAUGUACGAACUCACUAGUUAAGUAACCCCUUGCAAAGGUUAUUCCCUACCUUCUCAGGCGUUGACAAGUGGUGCACUGCAUGUCGAAAUCUUACAAACCGUGCGUUCAAAUCUUGAUCCGUUUCAUCAUUAAAUUUCUCGCGUUGAGAUCUUCGAAGUUAAACCCAUGUUAAUAGGUUUCACAAACUUUUUUCAGGUAAAAAGAAAACGAGAAAUCAAAAAAGUACAAAAAAACAAAAACUGGUAAAACAAAAACAAAAAAGGUAAAAAAGAAUAACAUUAAAAAAACCAGAGUCCGGAAAUAAGGUUGCAGUUUUCACGUAUUUUUUGCAUUUACGAGAAGCACAAACUUAUUUUUUCCCUAAAAGCACAUUUGCGCUUCUCGUGGGAGAAAUCUGUGCUUCCACACGAAGCGGAAGCAUAUUUUUUUCCUUUUUGAGAAGCACAACUCUGCUUCUCGUAGAAGCAAAUCUAUACAUCCAUGAAAAGCAAAUCUAUACUUUUUGUGGAACCAUAGUUUUUUUUCCUUUUUGAGAAGCAUAGGUGUGCUUUCUCAAAAGCAAAUCUGUGCUUGUGUGAAAAGCUAAUUUGUGCUUUUUUUUUCUCCAAAACCUGGAAAAACUCAAACGAACAAAAAAUCAAAAAGCAAGAAAAUCAUCAAAAACAUGAAAACAUGUGCAAAAAGAUAAAAUUAAAAUUCAGAGGGGCGCCAAACAUGGGACACAUGGCGGCGGCUAGCCGUAUCACUUGGCGCACUUGCAUGCCAAGAAAGUGAACCUUGCAGGCAGAUCCUAUUUGACGCUCGUUAGCUUCAAAAUGUAGUGGCUUCGCUAAAGCUCUUCCUCUCGACGCCCCGGUUUGGGCCGGCUCACGGUCGCUUCGUUGUUUCUUAUCUUUUCUGUUUCCUUUUUCUGUUUCUGUUUCUGUUUCUAUUUCUAUUUCUAUUUCUAUUUUAUUUUAUUUUACUUUUUACUUUUCUGUUUAUUUUUUUCGUGUAAUAUACAUAGUUCAUUAAGUGUUACAAAAAUGUUCAUUAAAUAUUAAGAAAAUAUUCACGGUAUACUACAAGAAGUUCACCAUGCAUUAUAAAAAUGUUUAUUGUAUAUUAGAAAUUGCUCCUCGAAUAAUACAAAUGUUAAGUUUGUUUUUGAAAUUUGUUCAUACUAUGUUACACAAAUGUAUAAUGUGUAUUAAUAAUUUGUUCAAAGUAUACUACUCCCUCCAUCCCAAAAUAAGUGACUCAAAUUUGUAUUAACUUUGUACAAAUUUGAGUCACUUAUUUUGGGACAGAGGGAGUACAAAAUUUUCAGUGAAUAUUUGAAAAAAUUUCAACAUACACAUUAAUAUUUUUCUAAUAUGUUCAUCAUAUAUUAAAAAAAUCAUCGUAUAAUAUGAAAUGUUCAUUAUGUAUUAUUAAAAUGUUGAUUGUAUGUUUAGAAGAUGUUCAGUGUGUGUUUUGAAAUAAUGUUCACUAUAUAUAAAAAUUUGUUUAUACCACAGAAAUUUCUAAAAAAAAAGUGAAAAAAAUAACGUGAAAAAACAUUUUUCUUAGAAAAGACCAUCAUGACUACUACCUCUCUCUCAGUUUACAGGGCGUGCGCGUACUCUUAGGUCAUCAAUUUGACCAACCUAAUACAAGUCAUAUAUUACAAAAAAUAUACCAAUAUAAACUUCAGAUGUUCUAUUUUCAAACGAUAUAAUUUUUGUGUUAUAUAGUUUACAUUAGGAUGAUAAAAUUGACAACCUAGAUAUACGCGUAGAACUUGUAAACUGAAACGGAGGUAGUAGCUUUAUUUAUCUGAAGUAAUAGAUACAUCAUCUACAAACUUAAUGACCAACACAUCAGGAGGCUCGUGCAUCCAAACCAAAGAAAGCUUAUUGCAAUAACUAUAAUUUGCUAGCACAUGCACUGCUUGACGAUCUAUAAUACUCCUUCCUUUUUUAUAUACAAGGCAACAAAUCCAUAUUACAGGUACCAAGAUAGAAAUUAAUGGCUACUUAAACCAAUAUUGCAAAUUAGUCUUUUCUCCUUGCUUGACGUGUUAAUUAAUGUGUAUUUUUCUCUCAACACAUAAAAAGACAACUCUCUCACUCCUCGUUGGUUGAUUAAUAUGGUGCAUGCAAAUCAAUUUUUCUCACUCCCGCAUGCAUGCAUGAGGUAUUAAUGUCUUUGGUUGCUAGUACGAUGCAAACCUCAUCAAUUUUACAUCGACUGUGUUAGUGGCCUUGUAUAGCUGCAAAUUGUAAUUUUGAUAAUGGCUUUGUAUACAAAAAUGGAGGGAGUAGUGCUUAUAGACAUUCUUCCCAAUUGACAUAGUUGUAUCCACACACUCAUUGUUGCCGCUGCAUCCCACCAUUUGGUAUGACCGGUACAAAAAAUAAUCACUUGCAAGGAAUUAAUGACCAAAAACGGGCCACUACAGUAAACGGACUACUAAAGUGUACAUUUAGAUUGCUACAGUAACCAUAUCUUAGUCCAGUACAAUAACGCUUGUUGGGCAGGCCCAAUGCACCCGACCCUGUGCUUUGCCUCCGUUGUUUGACACCUGCGGGCGUCGAACAUGAGGUCUCCUUGCGGGGCUCCAGGUGACAUGGGUUCUUUUUUUUUUUAACAAACAUAUUUUAUUAAGUUAGGAGCAUUUUACUGAGACAAGCAUGAAAGGAAACACGCUGGAUACAGAAAGGUUUCCCUGACUGAACAAAGACCUGCAUCAAAAUAUAAGCAAUGAAAUAAUACAGGUCUAUUUUGGACUUUCAAAGGUAGGCGUGCAAGAUGAUGGGCCUUGACGUUGUUCUCCCUGUAGAUGUGAGCAACUUUUUAUGCUGGAAAGAAGGACUAUUUUGUAUUUGAGCAAGUAGCGGCCUGUUGUCCCAAGGACCAGAAGCAGAGAGAAUGUUCGUCGUUUUUGCUGUCAAAGCUAACACCGAGCAAUCUGUGAAGAAGGGAGGAUCCUGAAUAUUGAGUAUGUAUGCCAGCCAGCUUGGUUGCAAGCAUAAGACCAAAAGUCUCGGCUUGAAGAGGAGAAGAAGCAGGAGGGGACAUUGUGGCAAUGUGAAUUUGCUGUAUGCGAUCGUCAUUUUGGACCUGGAUAAAGACUUCAAUUCUUGCCUGAUUAGAAGUGUUGGCUGGUCGUAUUUUCCAUCCAGCGUCACAGAAGAUUGUGUUGCCUGUAAAAGAGUCCGGAUUUUUUAUCACUGGUUGCACCAGUUGGUCCUGUAAGCAAUGCGCACCAUGAUCUUCACUGGGGUUCUCUCCUAAUAUGGUUCUUUGUAUGAUUGCAUUUGCUAUUGCAUACACCUGAAAGGGUCUGCAAUAUUUUGUAGCAAAGAGAACAUCGUUUCGAGACUUCCAAAGGCACCUUUCGAGACUUCCAAAGGCACCACAGAAAAGUAUAUAAGUUAGAAAGAUUAAUAUCUGGAUGACCUAAGUUAAGCAAAGUUUGGAUCAUGUCAGGAAUAGAAUGAUUAGGUAUAGUAAGGAUUUCUAUUUUAAUAAACCAUGGUGAGCAAAACCAGGCUGUUUUAGAGAAAGGGCAAAGGAAAAGCAUGGUGAGCAAUUUUCAUUUAUGUGUUUAGAGGAUUUACUUGCUCUCUUACCCGUAGGAAGCGCUUUCCUAACAAGUCUCCAAGCAAAUGUCUGAACCCGUGGCACCAUGAGUUUGUCUUUCCAAACUUGGUUUAGAAGAGCAAUUGUUUGUGGAUGAACCUCUUUUGGUCGUGUCGUUGCCUACCCGGUAUAGGUGAAGAUUGUUGAAGCAAUGCUUAUAUGCACUUUUGGAGGAGAAAUUUCCUGCAGGUGUUAGUUUCCAAAUUAAAUCAUCUUGCCCAACAGCUACAACUAUAGGAGUCUGAAGAAUAUUAUUAGCUAUCUCAGGAGUGAAGAAAGAGUACAUCAGAUUAGCAUUCCAAGCUUUUUGAUUUGGAAACCAAAGAUCUUUAACAAUAUCAGGAUAUACAUGGGUUUAUUAUGUGACAUUCAGUUAACAUGCCUCAGCUUUAGGUGGUCUCUAUUAUCUCCUAUUUUGGGCUGCUUAACAACUUCUAGUUUACAACAUCUACAACCGGACACCUCAAAACCGCCUCAAACGCCCGAUCACUGAUCGGUCAAAAAAUCGACCCCACUCAGAGGCCUCAACCCGGCCUCAAAAGCCCGGGUUGUCCGGCGCCCGUCAUAUCCAGCCAUAAUGUAGGGUGGAUAUGGGGCGGCCCGGGCGCCCCCGCCACGUCAGCUCGGCCCACCACGACCUCACAAAUAUCCCCUCCGGUGAAACCCUAGACCACAAUCCGCUCAGUCCACUCCACUCUCUCUGUCCACCCCUCUUCCCAAUCCAUCGUUUCCUCUCCGUUUCUAAUCCAUGGCGGAUGACUACAGCAGCUCCAGCUCGGGCGGCGAUGAGAGCAACGUCUAUGAGGUCGCUCUCUGCAUCGCUUCGCGCCGCUCGAGUCUAGAUCAGGGCGACAGCUCAGAGAGCGACAUGUCGUCCCCUUUUGCCCAACGUCGUAGUGCGAGCAAUGUUGCUGGACCCUCCCGUCCGGUGCCCAGCACUGGUGGGAGCGCCGCCCACUCCGCCCCACUCCAGCUACGCCGUCCCCCCGCCACCACAUCCAAUCUACCUCCGAAGGGCGUCCACGGGCACCGUUGGGUGCUUGUGCCCUCGCUGGUGCUGGACCGGUUGAGGAAGCCUGAUUCGGAGGCGCGGGUCAUAUGGCGCGAGCGGCGGUGGGCGACGAGUCAGCGAGGCGCGGGGCAAUUGGGCGUGCACUGGUCUAUCCCAACGAUGCGCUCAUCGUGUCCUGCGGUGCUCCCUCCAUAAGGGAAGGGGGCAGGAAAUGGUGCUUUCCUCCGCCCUCCCCCGUUUAAUCUAGUUUUUUUAUUGUAUGUUUACGUACUGUCCGACUAAAACUACAUAUUUUGGUUGUCCACUAAUCGUCUAUGCUUAAAUUAUGUCCGAUUUAAGUAGAUUUGGUGCUAGUUCAUUGAUCUACGUAUGUUUAUUGUCAUACGUGUAGAUGUUUCAUGGAUAUGAGGGACCAGAUUUGAGAUACACAAAUACGGACGCACCAAAAUGAGAAGUGCCCGGUCAGUGCCCGCGAAUGUGUCUGAAUGCGUCUGCGGGCGUUGGAGGGGUUGGAUUUGGUGUCUUUCGCCUGUAGAUGCUCCCAGGAAUGUAAAAAUUAGGACAUUUUGAGGUGAAUGCACAUACAUUAUAACCAAUUACCAAAGUAGAAACAACAUUUUUGGUGAAUGCACAUGCAUUAUAAACAAGAAACUAGAUGCUGCUUCCCACCAGAGCUAUAUGUCGCCCGUAGCGAUUGCUAAUGUCUAUCGCCUCUAGCGCCAGACCCACUCGCUGCUUGUGGUCUGGCCCAGAAAGGAACACGUUGAGGAGCGAUUUUGGGGAGCAACUAGUUAACGAGCGCUUCUUCGGAAGCCUCGUAACGAUCAACGCCAUUUGGCGCGCUCUAAGCCAUUUGCCACGUGUCGCGCUCUAUACGCUUCCUUCGGAUUUUGUUUUCUUAUUUUUCCGCACGCGUUUUCGGCUUUUUAAACGGUUUUUCCGGGUUUUUUCGACAUUUUGGUUUUCUCCCGGUCUUUCUUAGCUUUUCGAUAAAAAAAAAUUCGAAAAUUUUUUAAGCGAAAAAAUGCGUUUUCUUUUUUUUCUUUCGUAAAAGUCACGGUUUUUCUUCCGCGAGAGGCACGGUUGUGCUUUAGCGAGAGUCACGGCCGUGCCUCUCGGAAACAAAAAAAACACGUUUUCUAUUUUAUUUUCUUUCGCGAGAGUCACGGUUUUGCUGUCCCGAGAGGCACGGUUGUGCUUUCACGAGAGUCACGGCUGUGCCUCUCGGAAAGGGAAAAACAAAACGCGUUUUCUGUUUUUUUUUCGUCCGUGAGAGUCACGGUUUUGCUUCCGCGAGAGGCACGGUUGUGCUUACGCGAAAGUCACNNNNNNNNNNNNNNNNNNNNNNNNNNNNNNNNNNNNNNNNNNNNNNNNNNNNNNNNNNNNNNNNNNNNNNNNNNNNNNNNNNNNNNNNNNNNNNNNNNNNNNNNNNNNNNNNNNNNNNNNNNNNNNNNNNNNNNNNNNNNNNNNNNNNNNNNNNNNNNNNNNNNNNNNNNNNNNNNNNNNNNNNNNNNNNNNNNNNNNNNNNNNNNNNNNNNNNNNNNNNNNNNNNNNNNNNNNNNNNNNNNNNNNNNNNNNNNNNNNNNNNNNNNNNNNNNNNNNNNNNNNNNNNNNNNNNNNNNNNNNNNNNNNNNNNNNNNNNNNNNNNNNNNNNNNNNNNNNNNNNNNNNNNNNNNNNNNNNNNNNNNNNNNNNNNNNNNNNNNNNNNNNNNNNNNNNNNNNNNNNNNNNNNNNNNNNNNNNNNNNNNNNNNNNNNNNNGUGCCUCUUGGAAAGGGAAAAACAAAACGCGUUUUCUGUUUUUUUUUGUUCGUGAGAGUCACGGUUUUGCUUCCGCGAGAGGCACGGUUGUGCUUAUGCGAAAGUCACGGCCGUGCCUCUCGGAAAGGGGGAAAAUACGCGUUUUCUGUUUUUUUUCUUUCGCGAGAGUCACGGUUUUGCUUUCGCGAGAGGCACGGUUGUGCUUUCGCGAGAGUCACGGCCGUGCCUCUUGGAAACGGGAAAAAAUGCGUUUUCUGUUUUUUCCUUACACGAGAGUCACGGUUUUGCUUCAACGAGAGGCACGGUUGUGAUUUUGCGAGAGGCACGAGCGUGCCUCUUUUGGAAAGGGAAAAAAACCGUGCUCCCGGUUCGGUUUUUUCGCCCGGUUUUUUCAUUCGAUUUUUUUCGUGAAAAAAAGGUUCGUCAAAAUCUAUCAACAUGGGAUCUAGUUUUGAAGAUCUCGACGUGAGGAAUCCAAUGGUGAAAACGGUUCGAGAUUUAGACGCACGGUUUAAGAGAUAAAACGUUUUGAAUAAACUGAUCUACGAAAAAAGGGAAAACUCCCAAGUUGCGACAAGUGGCGCGCUGCAUGUGUGCCACUUGUCGCGACCUGGGAAAGUGGAGCGUUCUUUGCAACGAGUACUCCUUAAUUAGUGAUUUCGGCGAUUUUGCAUCGGGUUUUUCUGCGGUCUUCCUCCAUUUCUUCUAUUUUCGUUUUUUCUUUGAUUUUCUUUGUUUAUUUCUCAGUUUUAUUCGGUUUUCUUUGUUUAUUUUAUUGGUUUUCAAUUUUCUUCUUCUUAUUUUUUCAUUUUCUAAUCCAUUUCUAUAUUUUUCAUAUGGAUUGUACAUUUUUCAUACACAACAGGAACAUUUUUUACACAUUUAACCAAAUACAUGAUUAAUAUUUUUUUGAACAUUUUUCUGAAUAUGUGUUAAACAUAUUUUCAUGUACACGUUGGAAUAUGUUUGUGUACUAUGCAAUUUUUUUUCAUUGAAUAAUUUUUUUCUAAAGAUGUCGCAAACAUUUGUUUGAUAUGCGUGAACAUGUUCCUAAAUGUAGCGUAUAUUUAUUUGAAUGGUACAUUUUUUAAUUACACGAACAUCAUUUUUACAUUGUAUGACAUUUUCUUUUCAAAUGCCACAUACAUAUUUUUGAAAUUAGUGAAUAUUUUUGAAAUGUUCAUAGAUUUUUUUAAUGGUAAAAUCAUUUCCUAAAAUUUGAGCCAACAUUUUUUCACUGCUCUUACAUUUUUGUCAGGUGAACCAAGUAUCCUAGUAAGUUAGAUCUCCUCGGGGAAUAUCCAACCUCCAACGAGGCCUCCCCUCUAAAGAUAAUCUCAAUAACAUAAGCAGGAGUAGCGUGUUAUCUCCUCCCGGAGGGCUCGAACCUGGGUAAAAUCUCUCGCCUCCACGUUAGUUUCAUGAAGGAUCUAAUGAUAUUGAUUUUUUAUUGCAAAUGUUGAUAUUUCUUUCUAUAAAGUUGGUCAAACCUUUUGAAGUUUAACUUUAGACAAAUCUUACAUGCGGAGUAAAAAGACUGGGGUACUAGAGAAGAGAGCCAUGCACGUGAGCUUGCCCUUUAUUUAUUACUUGUGGGCUCCAUGUUAUAAGCGGUUAUAACCUCCUUACACUAUAGAAUUUUCAGCUAACAUAGAGGUAAGUUCAUGGGGCCAAUCCUAUGUCUUGCACAAAAAGGCAGGUUGCAAUCGCCUUAUCAUUAAUUCGGAUAAUAUGGAAGUCAAUGGAGAAUGGAGGACCACCUGCCGUGACAAAACCAUGAUAGGAGCGGCGGCGACAGUUUUUCGAUGAUUGCUAUUCUUGGCCUUUUGAUUUUUCUCUUACUAGUUUUGAACAUUGUAACAGUGAAACUAAUAAAGUUGCCCAUAAACUUGCUAGGUUAGCAAAAAUUGCAGCUAUAAGGGAUUGGUUUGAGGAGCCCUUGGAUGAGAUUGUAUCUCUUCUUAUUGAUGAUGUAACCAUUAUUUACAAUAAUAAAAUUUUAUUAUUGUUCAAAAAAAAGUGUGCGGGCCAAUCUUAGAGACGGGUUUGCCUCCACACACUAUUGAUGCUCCCAGACAACAACUUUUGCUUCAACCGCAAAAGUGUUUGCCCAUAAACUUGCUAGGUUAGCAAAAGUUGCAGCUAUAAGGGAUUGGUUUGAGGAGCCCUUGGAUGAGAUUGUAUCUCUUCUUAUUAACGAUGUAACCGUUAUUUACAAUUAAUAAUUUUUGUUAUUAUUCAAAAAGAAGUGCGCGGGCCAAUCUUAGAGACGGGUUUGCCUCCACACACUAUUGAUACUCCUAGACAACAACUUUUGCUUGAACCGCAGAAGGGUCUAGUUUUUUUAAGAGAAAAAUUAAAGGGCAUAUGGUUCUUCUUUUACCGUUUGAGAAUUGAGAGUAGCACCUUAUAAAAGGAUCGAAAUUUGUAAUUUCCUAACGUUCUCAAUUUUACAUUAGAUCCGAACGACCUGGAAACACUCGGAUCACGAUCUCCUGGUCCUUCGCGCAUGCAGGCGCCCCGCAAUUUGUGCUGACCAGCUGCGGGAUGGGAUCGCUGUCUCGUGGCUGUGUGCGACAAAAAAUAAAUUGAAUGCAAUUCCUAGGAUUCAAAACCUGGCUGAUGGGAAGCAGCAUGCCCCUGCUAACCAACGCCCUUACGUGACUUCUUAUCUCCAAACGUAUGAACAUACUUAUUUGGACUGUGAUAUAUACCAAAUGUUCGUACCUAUAGUAAAGGUCCGAAAGAUCCCACCUUCACGAGGCCGAGUGCGCGUAGCGCGCGAGGCUGAGUGCGUGUAGCGCGCGAGGCCGAGUUGUCGAGCGGAGGCAAUCGCGAGGCCCAUCUCAACGCCCCUCAUGUGACCCUGGCCCACAACCAUCACGGACCCUCCCCCUAAAAACCCUACUUUCUUAUCUCCACAGCAAGAAAACGCAACAAACACUCUCCAUCGACCCUCCUCUUCUUAUUCCUCUUUCCCUGGCGACGAACUCAACCAUUCAUCUCCGUCCCCUACCCCCCUUCAAUUGCUUCACAAAACAUGCAAUACACUUGAGAAAACUGAAGUUACCACCAGAUCUCGGUUUGAUCUACCACCGGGUAGACAAGAACUCACCAAGCGUCCAGAAUCCAGCAAAAUCUUCGCAAAAUCAUGCAGAAACGCUUGGGGGGCUCAAGUUACCACCCGAUCUCGACUUGAUCUACCACCAGGGACACCAGAACUUACCAGGCGUCCAGAAUCCAGCAAGAAUCCAGAUGGAUCAGGUACAUCUAAGCACUCCCUACUGUAUCUGAAUUCCAUUUCAGUUCAACCCAAAAAAGCCCCAUGAAAAAAGGAAGAAAAAAGUGGCAUUUUUUCCUAAUUUAUGGUACUAUGUGCAUAGAAGCUAUCAUGACAGAAUAAUGAGUUAUCAGGGCAUAUGCAAAGGUUUUUCUUGAAAAAAGACAACUCCUUUUCAACUUAUUGCACAAAAACAGUGAAAUUAGGCUAAAAAAAUACUUGUUGUAUGUAAAAUAGGAAGUCACAACACCAUAACAGAAUCCACUCUUGUUACAAUUAGGCUAUAAUUAUUGUGUAGAGAAAGCUACCACAUUUUUUCAUACAAAAGUUAUCAUCAGGAUUGUCAUCUGUUACCAUGACAUCAUGGUGCUUCUAUGCAAAAAGUUACCAUCAAAAAAAAACUUGAACUAAUUUUUGAAGCAGGGAAUGGUGUGCCGAGUAGAGUAGAGUCCCGAAUGAGUAACAAAUUGGUACCUGCAGAAAAAAUGAUAAUAUCCAUGUCAACUCAAAAAGAAUCACAAAAAAAGUACAAAAAGAUAGCAUGCACCAUGUGCAAAAAUAUGAUUUAUGUAUGUAAACAAUAGUGUUAUUUUUAGUUGUCUCACAUAUGCUAUUAACAUGUGUAAGCAGGUGCUUCAAUAACAUGUCGAAAAACCAUGGAUAUAACACAAAUGCCACAGAUAGUGCUGGACGAGAGAAACAACAUGAUGAUGAUGCACGUACGAUUAGCUUUGGUUCAGGUAAGUGGCAACUCACUUACAAAAGUGUCACACUAUAUGUUUAUGCUGGAAGCAGAAUGUUAUCAUCACAUCAUACUACAACUUACCACACUUGUUCAAUACAAGUUACCACUAAACAAUGAUAAAUCAUGAUGUGACAAAAGCAUUUCAUGUGAAAAACAUGCAGGUGCUCCACCUACAUCUAACCAGAGGAUCCAUGAGCCAAGCAAGGAAGCAAGUUCUAGCGUUGGGGGAGAAGAAAGGUUCUUUGAUGUGUCGGUCAGCGAGCCAGCAAGUCCAGAAACAGGAGCACUCAACGCUGAUCAAGGAGGAGUUAACACUGAGGCAUACUCCACACUAAGGGUCCUGAUACAAUAAUGAAGUUUGAAAGUUUUGAGGAGGCUGUUGAUCACUACGAGCUAUAUGCACUCAGAAAUGGAUUUGGGACAAGGAUAGAGUACACAAGAACACUGAAGGACAACAUAGUGAGCAGAGCACUCCUGAUGUGUGGGAAAGGCGGCAAGCCAAAGAAGAAGAAGAAGGAGGAGGUGCAGGAUGUACUGAACCCAAAAGGCAUCGUGAAGAAGAGUAAAAGGCGUAAGGUUAAGAGGACUCAGUGACCAGCCCGCCUUUACCUUACGCACAAGGAUGCGUGGUGGAGAGUCGAACGCUUUGAUGACAACCACAACCAUCCACUGAUAAGAAAGCCAUCUCUGACAAAAUUUCUAGCCUCACAUAGGAACAUUCCCAAAGAUGAGCAAGAUUUCUUACGGAUUCUACAUGAAUGCAACAUAGACACCGCAAGGCAAAUGCAACUAAUUUCAUGGUUCUAUGGUGAUGCUGAGAAUGUACCAUACACAACACAUGACCUUGCAAAUCAGCGAGCCAAAUUUCGCAAGGAGUACCGUAAUGCAGACGUGGGGAGCACAAUUUCAUACUUUGAGGAGCUCAGGGCAAAGGAUCCAGAUUUCUAUUGGAGAAUGAAACUUGAUGAUGAAGACAGGGUGGAAAACGUAUUCUGGAUAGAUGGUGCAUCACAUAGGGCAUACGCAAAAUACAACGACAUUGUGUCAUUCGACACAACGUACAUGACUAAUAUGUACAAGAUGUCGUGUGCCCCCUUCAUUGGCAUUAACAACCAUGGGGAAUCAAUCCAAUUCGGUUGUGGUUUCGUUCGAAACGAACUGACUGACAACUUUGUGUGGUUGUUUAACACAUUUUUGCAUGCGAUGGGUGGGGUUGUACCAAAGAACAUAAUCACAUAUCAGGACUUUGCCAUGAGGAAUGCUAUUGACGAGGUGUUCAUCGGGAUAGUACACAGAAAUUGCAGAUGGCACAUUAUGAAGAAAGCACAUGAGAAGCUUGGGAGGUUAAUGGCCGAUGAUGAACCACUGAACAAAGCAUUCAAAGAUUGUGUUGACAACAACUUGAAUGGUAUUGUAUUUUCACACAACACACUCCACUCAUAUUGCCGUAAAUUACAUAAAUGUGCCGCGAUAUCCAAUGUUACCAUGCUAAAUUAUAAUAAAUUAUGACCAACAUUACACAUUUUUCCCACAUUGAUAAAAAUAAGGUUUCAUGUGAAAAACUGGACUGUUGUGAAAGAGUUACCAGUACACAUGUUCUUAAGUGAACGUGACCACUUUAGCAUGUUUGCCAUGUAGUUAUAGUUCCCAAAAUCUGCAUCGACUACGACCACCUAGUGUUGCAUGAAGGAAGUUAUCAUGAUAAGUGCAUCAAAAGUUAUCAUGAUAUGUGUAGUUAACUUGCCAUCUUUUUCACUUUUGCAUGUAGUGGAAGAGUUAUAUGAGAUUGGGUCACAUGUAACUAUGUAGUUGAGUUGUGUUAAAUAUAUCAUAACUAUGUGCAUUGUGGGAGUUCCCCAUUUUGCAUGAACCAGAACCACAUACUGUCCCCUAAAGCAAGUUAUCAUGUUAAGUGUAUUAGAAUUACCAUGAUGUGUGCACUGAAAUUACCACAUACUGUCCCCUGAAGCAAGUUAUCAUGUUAAGUGUAUUAUAAUUACCAUGAGGUGUGCAUUGAAAUUACCAUCUACUUGGUUUUUGAACGCAGUUGAGGAGUUUGAGGAAAAAUGGUGGAAGAUGCUGGACGAUCAUGGGCAAACGGACAACGAGCAUUUCCACUGGCUGUGGGAAAACAGGGAAUGCUGGGUCCUAGUGUACUACAUGCACGACUUCUUCCCAUUCUUGUAGACAACGGCAAGGAGCGAGGGAUUCAACGCUGUGUUGAAGAAGUACGUCAACCCAAAUAACUUGCUAGUGGAAUUUGCAAAACAGUACACUGCAAUACAAGAGAAGGAGAUGGUGAGCGUGUCAAAAGAGCACCUGGAAAUAGUGUACAAAGAGGUGGAAACAUACUCCUUCAACCCACUCAAGUUACAUGUGUAGGGCCUCUACACGCAUAAUCUUUUCACCAAAUUCCAGAUGGAGAUGAAGGUGAAAACUGGCUACAGAUGUGACAGUUGCAAGAUGGGUCAUUCAAGGUUGGCUCAGUCAGAGGAAUCAUACCAAAAUAUGGGGAUAGGGACUACCAUGUGCAAGCAAACAAGGAUGAAGGGAUAUAUUCAUGCACUUGCUGCAAGUUUGAGCGAGAUGGUAUACUCUGCGCACAUGUGUUAUGAGUGAUGGACCAAAUCGGGGUGUACGAGAUACCUAAGAAGUAUAUUCUAAAGAGGUGGACUUGGGAUCAAGAGGAAGAUCUAAUCAAACCUGAUUUUGAACAACCAACAGUUAGUAAGAGCAUUCCAGAGGAGGGAAAGAGCGUCAUGCGAUAUACAUCAAUGCUAAGGGACUUCAAGGCAACAACCAAGGAUGCUUGCCUCACAGAUGAUGGGGCUAGGGUGGCCAAGAAGCACCUAUAUGCUUUGAAGGAAGAAAUGGAUGCGCUAACAAAAAGCCAACGUAAGAAGGCCAGAAAGGACAAGGAAGAAGCUAGAGGAUCGUUCCAAUCACAACAAGAUCCAUGUUCUAUUCCAGUGGUCGCAACAAGUGAAGCUGUCAUGCUGAACAACAAACAAGCAUACCUAACACGGACAAACCAAACACGGGACAAACAAGCAUCCCUGUGACAAUACAAGCUAGCGCCAACAUGCCUGCCACUGCAUCCCAUUCCUCGAACACAAAAUAGAUACUAGACCCUCCGAAGACUGUCACAAAAGGACGGCCGAAAAUAAAGAAGCAUCAGCAUCCCUUUGACAUUGCAAAACCAGCAAAACAAAGAAAGUGCAGUGUUUGCGGCAGCGUGCACCACGACAAGCGCAGGUGCACAUCACCUCUAGUAAGAUGAAUGAAAGAGAAAACAAGAUCGUCGCUACAAAUGAAUGGAUAAGAAACUUAUCUUCAUUUGUUUUGCUGAUUGUUAUCAGUGCAGAAAAAAUGUAAUCCGAAUUAUAGCACCUAUAUUUAUGUAAGUUAUCAACACAUUUGUGGGCUGAAGUUUUAAGUAUUUUGUGGUGAAAGUUAUCGUAAGCACAUUGGGUAAGUUAUUUGUGGGCUAUCCUCAGUUUCCUAUAUGUUUUACAUGUGUCAUUUCACUACAAUGAGUUUUCAACACUAUCUACAAGCAUCCCUGUGAUAAAGUUUUUCUAUAUGUUUUGGAAAAUAUCAGCUUGUAUUCAUACUAGUUAUCAACAACACAAAAAUGCAAUUUACCGGAUAAAUUGUGAUCACAUUAUUUCAUGACCAAAAAAGAAUGAGAGAACCAACUAGUUAUCAGACUAUUUAUAUAAGAAAAGGAAUAGCAGCCACGUAAGGUAUAUGUUACCAUCUGGUACUGAAUUUCUUCUAUGUGUGAUGACAAGACACUAAAAACAACCAGUGUGCCAACAAAGAAAAUGCUAAACUACUUCUUUCGAGUAGUUAACAUCAAUUUAAGACCAGCACUGAAAAGUGCUCUCACAAACGAAAAAAAAAGAUGAUGACAGUUGAUACCUCACGAACUAUUGCCAAACAAAUGAUAGCGCCACUCUUUGCAUCUGUUUUGAAUGUGAUUUAGCCACCUCGAUGUCAAAAAAAUUCUGAGUGCAGGUACUUGCUCUUGGGUGAAGGCGGGAAUAAUUUUCCCAUUCCACAGCUCCAAAGACAUGAAAGCGAGGUAGCCACAAUCAAUGUUGAAAACAGAGUGUGUGUGUGAGUACAUAAAACAUGAUAUCGAACAAAUGGGGCUACAUCUAAAUUAGGGAACACAGAUAAACAACUAACCCAUUUUCUUGUUUAGAAACAUCAAUAUACACGAGUUCAUAAUCUUGAAUUUGCUUGCGCGAGUCCUUGUAUGAAAUCAACCAAGCCUUCUUUAUAGCAUUCAUAUACCUUGUUGCGUGCUCAAUUAAAGAUGGACUAUCUUCUUCACGCAACUAAUCCAGCACCUCAAAUCGUUUCGCCUUAAGAUUUAGCGACAGUACAUACCAAUGACCGUCAUCUGGUCCCCGUCCCAACUUUUGCAGAGCAGGGAAUAGAAGCUACAAUAAUCAUAGCAGUAACAAAAAAAGAGGAAGCCAUAUUUAAAUACAGGGAACACAAGAAAAAGUUAUCAUGGCAGAAGAAAUAAAGUUACCAGAAACUGAGUGCUAAAGUUACCAUGCAAAACAAAUCUAAGUUGUCAUACCACAGAGACUUAAUUAAAAAAAACAAGAAUAUGGAUGCUGAUGCUAACAUUAAAACACAAAAAACAGGCAUUGGAUGCUCAAUUUACCAGCAAAAGUAAAUGAAUUAUCAUACCAGACUAUGUAUAAUGAAGUUAUCAUGAAAAAAAGGCACUGCAAAAAAUAAAAAAAAGUGUAAACAAUGGAUAUUAAAAGUGUAGAGUGGCAAGAAAACUCAGAAAAGUACCUCAUUUUGAUGGCUUAGAAUGUAGUGUUGGUCCCGUCGGAAAUGAUGAAGUACACAUUUACAGUUGAAGUCUCCAACAAACAGAUAAACAGACAACAGCCAAGGGAAGAUAAUCUUGUUUGGCAUUUCCAAAUAUUGAAGAACACAAACAUGCAACUCAGCAAUACUGGUUGAAACUUGCCCCGUUUCUCUCACACAAUUAGCAAGCUCGCCGAGUGUGACCCACCUCCCAUCAAUGUUGAUUACCCUGACACUGCAAUACCAGGGGGGAGCGUCUAAAAACAAAUGGAAUGGCAAAAAAAUGCAUGAAAAACUAAGAAAUGGUCGUUUAUUACUCCUUAAUCUUGGAGUUUGAAUCAGUUGUGUGCUUGAUAACUUCAGCGUAAACAGCCUCUUCAUCUUCGCUGGGGAUAGUUACUAGUACAAUCCAAUGGAUGUUACCAGCAAAAAGUAAUGAGUGAAUUAUCAACGCAACAAAAAAAAGAGUGUUGUGAAAAAACCUUAUUGGGUAAGAUAAAUAUGUGGUUAGAGUCAAAUUUAUCAUACCAAAACAAUAACAUUUAUCAGGAUGUCAUUCUUUCAUGCAAAAACAAGAUGAAUUAUCAACACAACAAAAGGACUGUUGUGAAAAACUUAUUGGGUAAGAUAAUAUGUGGUUAGAGUCAAAGUGAUCAUGCCAAAACAAUUGCAUUUAUCAGGACAUCACUUGUUCAGGCAAAAACAAGAAAAAUGUUCAAAAAAUUGUUAUUGACCGUGACCAGAAAAAAAUGCAGAAGAUGUCAUGCAAAAAAAACUGGUUAGCUUAGAUCACCAUAGAACAUAUGGUCCAAGACAAGGUAGUGGAGCAUGUUGUCAGAGUAAUGAGAGGUGUUACCAUAGUAUAGCAAAUCAAGUUACCAGGUAGUUAGAAGGUAUGUUACCAGGUGGGAGAAGGGGAUGUUAUAUUAUGAAAACAACACACAGUCAUGUUGUCAUGGGAGGUAAAAAUAAUACAUUGUAAUCAGUAAUCACAAACAGGAGGACACACAUACAGAAAAUAAAUACAAAAGCACAACACACAAAUUAUGGUGAAAGAGAAUCAAAAAAUGGUUCAUUUCACAUAACACAAAAGCGUAAAGAGUCAUAUUACAUUCAUCCACACACGCACACAGAUAUAGGGAAAAGGAAAAGAACUGACUUAAAUACGGAAGAAAGCACAUAAAAACAGUUAAAAAGGUCUUCGAUUAAGUGCCUCCAUCAUUCACUCGUUGCUGUGAAGCGAAGACACAAAAAGGUCUUCACUUACCGGAGUUGGCAAGCAGCGCCCAAGCAACCGGUUCAACGUCAAUGCCCUCGACAUUCUCCGCGGCAGUAGAGGCAAGUGCUAGGAUCGCGUCUGAAUCAGCUAAUGUUGUAGCUGUUGCAUGUGGUACUUCUGCUGCUUGCGGUGCGGCUACUGAUUCUAGCACUUCUCUUGCUUGUGGUGCUCCUGCUCCUAUUUGUGGUGCAUGAGGUGAUUCAGGAAUACCCUGAACCACAGCUGCCACUGGUGGAACCACUGGUGAAUCUUCAGGCAUCACACCAAAAAUGGAGCCAAGUCCAAGAGAGCAGCUUGGUGGGGUGAAAUCACCAGCAACUCUAACUGCAGCAUCAUCACUUGCAGCUUCUGGAGUGACAACAACGUCUUCAGCUUGAACUUGAUGAUGCAAUUGGACAUUCUGGGAAUCAUCCACAACUUUAAGUUCAGCAGUUUCAUCUUGAGCAUCAGAAUUGUCAGCUGGGACUGCAGUAUACAAGUACACUUACCAUCAAAAAAUACUAUAUUUACCAUCAUAAAAAGUAAGAGUUACCACCAGAAAAAUGUUAUAGUUACCAUCAGAACAGUCCAUACCUGGAGCUGUAUUUCCUGCAUCAACACCAGUUACUACAACAGCCACUCCGGCUUCAGGGGGCACGGACACUUGGGCAGCUUCGGUGACGGGUUCAGUAACAUGUUGAGCUGCAUCAAAUGGGAGGACAAAAAAAGUUAUCACAUUGAACAAACUAGAUAUGUAUGUUUAACAUCAGACUAUUUAUCAUUCAAUGCAUACUAGUGUCCAUGACAGGAGUGUCAUCAACAUGAAUCUCAUCAUUAACAGCUGCAGUGGCGAGCUCUUCAACGACAGCAGUGACGGUGGCCACUGUAGCUAGUUGUUCUACAGAUUCAGCAGCAUCAAAUGCAACUUCAGGGGCAGCUGCUGCUUCGACGGACGCUGGCAAAUAGCCCAUUACAAUAGGUUGUGAAACGACAACAGGAGACGUCAACGUGGGCUGAUCUUCAAGAUCCACAACCUCUAUCGGCUUUGAAGAAGCUUCUCUUAGUCGAGGAUAAGACCUAGUCUUGGUAAACCGCACCUUUUUAGCGGCAUUAAUUCCACUUGACUUCCCUACAAAAAAAGGCUAAGUUGUGAGAUGUAUUGUUAAAAUGAACAGACACAACCUAAAAAAAGUUACCAUCUAAAAAGAGCGUAGAUGCAUAGAAACAAGGAGAUAGUUACAGGUUACCAUUGUAAUACUACUAAAAUUACCAGAUAAACAGUUCAAACUACCAUGCAAAACAGUAAUGAAAAUCUGCAACAUAUUUUUAACAAAAGAUAAUCACGACAAAUAAUGAACCAGCUAAAAAUAUACUACGCGGAUGUAUAUACUGUACAAAAGGGCAGCUAAUUAUAAGAAGUAGCAAGUAUGAAAUCUAAAAAGAAAAAGAAACUGAAAUUCUUGAUAAAUUAUGCAACACGAAAUGAAUAAAAAAGACAAAAAAAGACCAAUUGGUCCAACAGAUUACCUAGAUUUUGGGAUACUGGAUGACACCUCAAGUGUACCAACUUGUUUGCAGGGUGCCCUGAAAAAAUAAACUGGAGUAGUGAACAAAGAGGUUGGACCAGUAGUUUAGAACCAAACAAAGCGAAGAUGUGUAUAAGACAAAAAAAGGUGCAAGUUAUCGGAGGGGUCCUACUGAAGUUAUCACAUACAAUCAGUUGAAGCUACCAUGAAGUGUUAGAACUGAAGAAAUACAAAAAGUAGAAAAAAUACAAAAGGAUAUUUCACCUGCGUGGAACCUAUUUAGUACCAGUUGAGGGUCGAAUGACCUCACCGGUGCCCUUGUCAGCCACACGGAUCCCAAGAUCUUCUACAACCACUUUCAUGAUAGAUAAAUGAAUGUCCCUUUCUGAUAGCUGGAUAGGCUCAGAUGGCGGAGUAGAACGGGGUAGUGAUGGUAGCUUCAACUUCUUGCGCCUCCGCAUGUAAGCCAAAUUUUUGGCAAGCUGAGCACCGCAUCUUUUAACAGAAGAUUCAGUGGCCAAAUCAAACUACGUGUCUGUCAUAUCACGCCGGCUGAGCACGCCAUCCCCUGAGCUGCUUGACACCGUGUUAGAAGUACCAGUGAGCAAGAUCUGGGACUCAAUAACAGGUUCAUCGCCCGCACGGUCAGAUAUCCCUUCGACAUUUCCUGCUACACUGUCACGUGCUUCAGCAUUUGCAUCACUUGAUUGAGUUGGGUCCACAAUUCCUACUACACUAUCAGGUAUGCCUUCAACAUUUUCUAUGAAACUGCCACGCACUUCAGCGUUUGCAUCGCCUGAGUGAGUUGUAUCCACAUCCACUGCCCCGCUGCCAGAGGCCACAUUCUUUGCCCCCCUGCGGGAAGAAAAACCAUGAUACAAAACUGUAAAGUCAUCAUCACCAUCAUCAGAUUCGUCCCCGUCGUUUUCAUCCGUAUCACGGUCAGUAUCAGACUCAUCCAUAUUAUUCUUGCCAGGGCUCUCCGAUUGAUGGGUACGGCGUGCAGGAGAGGGCUUUGCCAUAUUCCGGGUAGCAGAAGAAAUCGCCCUAAGAUCAGUGUCUAGUCGACGAGACACAUGUGAACAGCCUUCAUCAUCAAGUGAGACGAACCCUUGCACAAAAUCGCCAAGCAGGCCAACCAAGCCAGAUGAAAACCGACCCACGAGCUCCGAAGCCUUUGCAAGUUUCUACUCAUUAAUAAUAAAUCAAUAGAGACAAAAAGGAACACUUUUAGUUACCAGACAUUAUUUUUUAGAUGCAAACAAUAAUACACAAAACAGACAAAACAAGAGAUCAUAAGAGAAUUAAAAGAAUAGACAGGAUUUCCAUACUCAAGUUAUCAUGCGAGUGCAACAGAAAGUAUCAACCAAUUACAACACAAGUUAUCAACAGUUAAAAAAAUAAAAAUUAGAUUGGUAAAACAUGAUUUAUCAGGUAAAACAGACACAAAUUACCAUGUGUAUGCAACAAAAGUUACCAUCAUAAAACACAACAUAAAAACAGCAAUGAAGAAAAUAUUCCAGAUGUGUAAUACAAAAACACUUAUAAGGUUGCAUAGUCAUUAGUUACCAUCAAAAAAUGUAUCAACAGCAAAGAAAAAGGCUACAAAUUACCAGAAUACAUAUAAACAAUAAAAAAACAUACCUCUUCACUGCAGUUUGGUGGGACAUGCACACGCAUGAACUUCCCAAGACCUUGUAAACCGCCAAACAAGCAGAAAUCAACGCCAAACUAGGGUUUCAACUGGUGAUUUGUUGAGAAUGAAAAUGAGUAAAGAAAAGUAUAAAGAACAAAUGCAUUUGCAGUAAGUACAUGAAGUGAUUAGAAGGAAAAGAAAAACAAAGUUACCGGUAGUUUGUCGUAAGAAAUUCCGUCCGCUUGGACAUCCAUACUAAGCAAUUCAGAUGUCUUCUCUUUUGUCCAAACAUUGAUAGGAAACGCACCAUCGGGCAAUGAGAUACCAAGACCAGUAAGAUCGAUAGCAUCAAUGUACAGAAGCUGGUAAAAAGAGUCAUUGAUGUCAGAAAUACACAACUAGACAGCAGGAAAAGAAAAGAAAAAAAAGCACCAACGCUUACAUUGUAGAAAAGAAGACACCCCUUUGUAGGCCUCCCCUUCAAAAGUGCCUUAUGGAGCUCAUCAGCAAUGAACUUGGAACAGUUCAAGUCCUUGACUCUAUUAAUGUUUUGCUGAAAAAAUAAGGAAGUAAAUGAACAAAAAUUCUACAUGAUAUAAAGCAAUACAGUUACCAUGUAAACAUGAUGCAAGUUAUCAGCCACGUAACAUAAGUUACCAGUACUUACCAGCACACCAUACCAUCUAGGGCUGAUCUUGUUGGAUGUAGUAGGAGCAAUGACAGUAUUGCCGACAAGCAUAAGCCACAUCCGCUUGAACUUCUCAUCAUAAUUGACAGAACUUGUUAUGAGAUCAAGGACAUCAGUCAUUUUUGGAGUGUGGCCAAGCUCACCAAACAUCUCAAUCCCUAACUCAAUAUCAGCUUCUGUGGGCAGACUGUAAGGGACAUCUUCCCCACCACGAGGCACACCCAUCACACGAUGAACAGACUCUUUGUUGACAGGGAUCCUCCCACGCCCCGGAACAACCACUUCACGAGAGUCUGGCUCGUAUAACCCAGCAAGCCCUGUUCCGAGGUGGAGGGCGCUUCGGCUUUUUUGAAGGAACACCCUCAUGGCCAUCACCAGAUCCUUUGCGCUUCCUUGGCAUCGUGCCCUUGAGAAACAAAAUAAUAUUAAAGGACUGACAAGUAAGGAGUUACAGAAGGUGAAUUGGAAGACACAACAACCAAUGAGAUAACAAAACAAAAAGUCUGGUAACUUGUAUGAAUGGGACUGAUAGCCAUAACUUACCAGCCAUGAUAACUUUCUUAAAAUCUCAUUAAAAAUAGAUACUGAGACAUAUGCGUGAUUUGAAAAUGCAGCUAGAGUAAUUAAAAUGGCAACAGCUUAACAAUUCAAGUGCUAGUUUGAAGUAAUAAGACAUGGCAAAACUCAAACAGAAUGCUAGAUAUAAAAACAAGUGGACCACAGAGGGGUUGCAGGGUAACCGCUAACAAAAAUCAGUGGUAAUGACAAGCAAAAAAGGACUUGGAAAAAACAUUAUGCAAUAAGUUGUAUCUGAAGCAUGUGACCUAGCAUGAAUUUCGUGGUAACACAUAACGAUUCCGGUGGUAACUUUAGUGAACGAGUCCUGAUAGAUGUGCACCGGCCACAAUUUAUGGUUGCAAUAUGAAUCUAAACAAGUCACACCUCGCGCAAUACAACAUCAUAGAUCUGCAUCCCGAAACACAUCAAGGAGGGGGUGGAUACAGAGUUCACAUCCACAUUCCAAAAAUUCAUCAAAAAUGGAAGGAACCACGCACUGAUCAGACUCAUACAAACCAUCCACUGUCAAAAUCGGUCUUCAACCACCUGUUUCAUCGCCAUCUAUGCCUAAUCCACAACUUAUCCCCCCUCCCCCCGUACGGCCUAGAAUGGAAACGGAUGAACUCACAUAUGCACUCGCAACUCGAUCAAAACAACUCGACGAAAACAGGUCGCUGCAACAUCAAAAUCAACUAUGGCGCUCUCAUCUGCGGAAGCCCAGGCUUUACCCAACAACGGAAAGACAACGCGGGGGUGGGGGGGGGAGGGAGGAAAUCUCACCGGAACAAGUCGCCGCCGACCGUCGUGGAAGCAACCAGCGCCCGUCCGCGCGAUAUCUGCAGAAACUCGAGCGAUUUGGAGUCGAAUCGCUCGGAGGAAGAGGACGAGGAGAAGUAAUGGCGAAGUGGGAGGAGUGGGGUGAGAGCCGUUGUAGUUCGGGAGAAGAAGAGAGAGGAUCGUGCGUGAGGGAAGUGGGGAUUGGAGGAAGCCGCGGCGGGUGGGGCCACUUGCCAGAGGGAGAGAGGGGCGUAGGGUAACUCCCUCGCGCGAGGGACGCUGAGAUGCAACAACGAAAUUCACUCGCGACGACAGAUGCAGAUCGGACGGCUGUGCGGUCGUUCGGACCUUUUGUCAAUUCCAGAACGUUCACUCGUUACAUUUGUCGCAAAAUGAAUGGUCAGAUUGUUUUUUCUUAACCUUCUGCUUGACCUCAUGUUCACUUUCUUCUCUGAACCACUCAACGUACCACCUGCCGGCGGCUGGCGGCGCCCCCGCGCCUGCCUCGUCGCCUCACCCUUCCCCAAACGCCGCCCACCGCCGCGCUUGCACUGCCCUUGGUCAUCCCCCUAACCUCGAUCAACCUCCAGAUUUUCCUGUCGAACCUGCACCCCUCCCUCCACCUCAAAAUAGAUACCCGAUGAGUCGGCCACCCUAACAUAGACCUAGAGGCUGUUGCUUCACUGGCGAGCCGACGGCUGCUCCUUGUUGUUUCCUUCAUCUGAAAUCGUCUGACCCAGCUAUCAUUUCGAGUCGACUGACGUCCAGCUAAAUUGCCUUUUUAAGCAUCUAUACUAGUGGUUAGCUCGCUGAACCUCGUUGGUUGCUGGAUUAAUGUGCUGAAAGGACGUGACACCGUUUGCAUGCGCACCACCCUGAAUAGAGCUAGUAGUACGUACCAUGGUUGGUUUAUUUUGCUGCCAAUCGAGCAACAUGUCUAGUCCUGUGAAAAACAACUGGCAGUAGCAAAAGACGUGCAUGUCGUCAACCCGGGCACCCGUGCCAAAGCAAACGCUGCGCCCGGAGCUACAUGGACAAGCUUCACGUUUCCCUCGGGUGAAAGUUGAUAACUGGCAUCUACUUGGGGCAGUAGCAGACUAGCAGUAGAUGGAGUUGGUUGAUCCAACGGUCCCAAACAACGUCCCAACUAACAGAACAAGCUUUGGCCUCUGAUCCGUGUGACAUGGACUCGUGUCUCUCCCAACCAAGACGUGGCAAGCAAGCCCCAAUUAACUAGUUAUCGGCCAGAGCUUAGCCGCGCCGCACAUGGCGCUGCCAGGCCGCACGCCGACAUCGCUCCUUCAAGGCGGCCGGCUCGAGCUGGCCGGCCGGAGUCGCCGCGGCGUUUAUUGUUUCCGCUCCCAUGCAUCGUGUCCCAGCUGCAUGCACAGCUGCAGUGCCCUGCAUCGCACUCCACCCAUGCACAAUGCAGCACCGUCGCGUUGGUACGUACAGUGCUGUACAGGGAAGGGAAGGGAAGGGUGCAUGGUGAUGGUGGGUUGAUGAUGGACGGACGGUUGGAUCUCCAUUUAAGCGUCUCCACCCCCCUUGAAUGCAUUCAAUGGGCUCCCCCCUCUCCACCGUUGGGUAGCUAGGCGAUCGAUCGACCGAUCGAAGGCGGGCGAUUGGCCUCGGCUGACCGCGCUGCUGGCUGGUUCUCCUUUGCUUGGGCCAGUUGGGCGCGCCCUGGUCGCUGGGUCGCCCAACGACCCCGGCGGCAAUUUAUGGCCCACCACCCCCCGCCCCCGUUUCUUCGUUCGUUCAUCGGUCCAGACUCCAGAGCCCGGUCACUAACACUCACUACACACACGCAAAGAAAUGAAAAGAAAAUGAAAACACAAGGCUAGCUACCUCCCUCGGAGUACGUAUAUGCAGGUAUCCUGCUGUAGAUCGUAGUAGUACGGCAUGCAGCUACAGCGGGACGCGCUGGCAGGCUACCAAUAAAUCGCCAGCCAUCUCAACCAACUCUCAACACUGCACUGCUCCCAUCGAUAACCCACCACCUCUAUAAAACCCUAGUCUCCCCCUGCCAUCCUCCUCGCUCGCUUCCUCCAUGUGGAGUCACUUAUUACGCCCAGCCCAGCCCAGCCAGCACCUUAACUCGCCGAUCCACCCCUUGGAUCCACUCUACCCAGCUCGCUAGCCAGCGGGGUAUAUACACGCGCGUACGUACACUUGCAGAGCUUGCUUCAGGGAGGUCAGCCGGCAAUGGAGGUGGGGACGUGGGCGGUGGUGGCGUCGGCGGUGGCCGCGUACAUGGCGUGGUUCUGGCGGAUGUCGCGCGGGCUGCGCGGGCCGCGGGUGUGGCCCGUGCUCGGCAGCCUGCCCGGCCUGGUGCAGCACGCCGAGGACAUGCACGAGUGGAUCGCCGGCAACCUGCGCCGCGCGGGCGGCACCUACCAGACCUGCAUCUUCGCGGUGCCCGGGGUGGCGCGCCGCGGCGGGCUGGUCACCGUCACCUGCGACCCGCGCAACCUGGAGCACGUCCUCAAGGCGCGCUUCGACAACUACCCCAAGGGCCCCUUCUGGCACGGCGUCUUCCGGGACCUGCUCGGCGACGGCAUCUUCAACUCCGACGGCGACACCUGGCUCGCGCAGCGCAAGACGGCCGCGCUCGAGUUCACCACCCGCACGCUCCGGACCGCCAUGUCCCGCUGGGUCUCGCGCUCCAUCCACGGCCGCCUCCUGCCCAUCCUGGCCGACGCGGCCAAGGGCAAGGCGCAGGUGGAUCUCCAGGACCUCCUCCUCCGCCUCACCUUCGACAACAUCUGCGGCCUGGCGUUCGGCAAGGACCCGGAGACGCUCGCCCAGGGCCUGCCGGAGAACGAGUUCGCCUCCGCGUUCGACCGCGCCACCGAGGCCACGCUCAACCGCUUCAUCUUCCCGGAGUGCCUGUGGCGCUGCAAGAAGUGGCUGGGCCUCGGCAUGGAGACCACGCUGACCAGCAGCAUGGCCCACGUCGACCAGUACCUCGCCGCCGUCAUCAAGAAGCGCAAGCUCGAGCUCGCCGCCGGCAACGGCAAAUGCGACACGGCGGCGACGCACGACGACCUGCUCUCCCGGUUCAUGCGGAAGGGAUCCUACUCGGACGAGUCGCUGCAGCACGUGGCGCUCAACUUCAUCCUCGCCGGCCGCGACACCUCCUCCGUGGCGCUCUCCUGGUUCUUCUGGCUCGUGUCCACCCACCCUGCGGUGGAGCGCAAGAUCGUGCGCGAGCUCUGCUCCGUUCUCGCCGCGUCACGCGGCGUCCACGACCCGACAUUGUGGCUGGCGGAGCCCUUCACCUUCGAGGAGCUCGACCGCCUGGUCUACCUCAAGGCGGCGCUGUCGGAGACCCUCCGCCUCUACCCCUCCGUCCCCGAGGACUCCAAGCACGUGGUCGCGGACGACUACCUCCCCGACGGCACUUUCGUGCCGGCCGGGUCGUCGGUCACCUACUCCAUAUACUCGGCGGGGCGCAUGAAGGCGGUGUGGGGGGAGGACUGCCUCGAGUUCCGGCCGGAGCGAUGGCUGUCGGCCGACGGCACCAAGUUCGAGCAGCAUGACUCGUACAAGUUCGUGGCGUUCAACGCCGGGCCGAGGGUGUGCCUGGGCAAGGACCUAGCCUACCUGCAGAUGAAGAACAUCGCCGGGAGCGUGCUGCUCCGGCACCGCCUGACCGUGGCGCCGGGCCACCGCGUGGAGCAGAAGAUGUCGCUCACGCUCUUCAUGAAGGACGGGCUACGGAUGGAGGUACGUCCGCGCGACCUCGCCCCCGUCCUCGACGAGCCCUGCGGCCUGGACGCCGGCGCCGCCGCCACCGCCGCCGCAGCGAGUGCCACAGCGCCAUGCGCGUAGAAGACCUGGCACUGGCACGGGCACGCGCCAUGCAUGAUUCGUGUGUGCUAGCUGUUGAAGGGACGCCGGACAUUGAAUGUGUAGAUAGGGCAGCAGUGCAAGACCGUAAGUAAAAUUGAUGAUGGGUUUGGUGACAACAUUCAAGUCACUCCUUUCCAGAAUUUACGACCCGGAUAGGAGAAACAGGGAAACUUUGCAGAUCACAACACAAGAUCUAGCCAGCCGGGGAUCUGAUCGAUCUGUGUCUGCUCAGAGCACGGGUGCAUGGGAGACCAAGGAGGAAAGCAUAAAAUAACAGAAACUGAGUGAGCAAUAUUUGUGAUUGUAGCCACGGGAGAGAGAGAGGAGUAAUUAGUAAUUCAGAUUUGUUUGCAGUAGCUCGGUGUUGGUGACCAGAUCAUAGCCAACUAGGCUAUUCUAUUCUAUUCUAUUCUAUUUUUGGAGAUGAUUUUUCAAAGCCGUGUACCCUUAUUCUAUUCUUAGAGAGUUCAUAUCCUAUCCAUGAAACUUGUAAGUAGACUUUGCAGUAGACGUGCUCAAGGUUGUUUGCUUCUUUGACACCAUGUUCAUCCAUGACAAGUUUCUUCUUUAGUGGUCUGAUUCGCUGCAGUACGUUUCUAGCUUCUCUAGCUAGCUAACCUUGGUGCUGGAUCUGCAUGCGAUGACAUUGACUCUCGUGCAUGCAUGUAUCGGUGCCUUGAUGAGGUCUGUUGCGCGCGCCGUCCGAUCUGGUGAGGGAUAGCAACCAAGAAUCUCAGGUGCGUAAAAGCAAGUUUGAUGUGGAUGGCUCCCAACAUCAACAUGCACAUAUUUGGCAGCCGUUCUCUCUGGCCUGCAGGCUCGUCCUCAUGCACUCUCUCUAAUUGUCGUUCUUACGACAGCGAUGGGAUCGCGCGAUACGAGAAAAAGGAACUGAAGUUGACGCGGUACGAUUUCGACGGGUGUUUGUUGGCAUGGUUGGUUCGUUUGAUGCAACGAUUUUAAUCUACCUCCAGCUACCUUAUGUUCAGAGUGUUAUUGUGACUUGAUUUGAUCGACGGAAUUAUACCCCACAUCGGUAUCAGUAUUUCUUUUUUUACUAAAUGAUCCUACGAGAAACUUCAAUCCGCUCAUUGACCCCCCUGAAAAACCUUUUUUUUGUGGGAAAUACUUUUGUAUUACUCAAGAAGCCAUGCUACCCUCCAGAUUACAUUGUUCAACAACUUUGUCCGGUCCAUCAGGGUUUCAGUUCUGGUGCUCGUAUUUAUUCCUGAAUUUAUUUCAGGAUUUCCGGCGAUGCGCAUUUAGUGAAAGGAGACGUUCUUGUUAACGACGAGGUGCCUACGAUGACUUCGUAAAUUUCAAGAUGAUAUGUUGGUUCAGUCUUUUGGAGGUGCUCAUAGGGUCAGGAUGUAUGUGUGCGCAUUCAUAGGGGUAAGUGUAUAUACGUGUAUAUGAGCACUUGCAUCUGUACUAUGUUAAAGAAAAACUUUGUCCGGUCCAAAACCCAGUCAUACAACAGUUCGGCCAUUAGCUCUGCCAUAACUUGCCAAACAAUAACUAACAAGAUUGUAUUCGCAAAGCAAGUAUUUCAUUGUCCCGUGAGAAGCUCAUGGUCGUGGACAAUAAAUCCAUAACGUGUCCUAUCCGUACCUUCCUUCUUUAAGAGAUGAGUCAAUUCGCGAACCAAUCUAUGGUUGGAUGGUUAGAGAAACUGUGGUAUCCUAGCCCAUCAGGGUUCAAGUCCUGAUGUUUGUAUUUUUUCUGGAUUUAUUUCAGGAUUCCCGCGAUGCGCAUUCAGUGGGAGGAGACGUUCCCGUCGACGAAGAGGUGCCUAUAGUGACUUCGUAAAUUUUAAGAUGAUAUGCCGGUUCAGUCUUUCGGAGGUGCUCAUAGGGGUAGGGUGUGCGUGUCUGCAUUCAUAGAGGUGAGUGUAUGCGCGUGUAUAUGAGUGCUUGCGUCUGUACCGUGUUAAAAAAAGAUGAGUUAAUUCUAUUUUUUGCCCUCAAAAUAUACGCGUUUGAUAAAUUGUACCCCCAAGUUGACAUUCGAUCAAGUGAUGGCCCAUAAUUUAAAGAUUACUUUCACAUUUUGCCCCAAUAUAAAUAAAGAAUGAGUUCACAAUAGUACAAGAAUGAGUUCACCAAAAGUAUGAAACAAUUGCUUGGGUUGUCAUCGGGGUUGUGCAUGAUUUGAAUAUUUUGUAUAAUGAAGAUGGAGCAUAGCCAGACUAUAUGAUUUUGUAGGGAUAGCUUUCUUUGGCCAUGUUAUUUUGAGAAGACAUAAUUGCAUUGUUAGUAUGCUUGAAGUAUUAUUGUUUUUAUGUCAAUAUUAUACUUUUGUUUUGAAUCUUAUGGAUCUGAACAUUCAUGCCACAAUAAAUAAAAAUUACAUGGAUAAAUAUACUAGGUACCAUUCCACAUCAAAAAUUCUGUUUUAUCAUUUACCUACUCAAGGAGGAGCACGAAUUAAGCUUGGGGAUGCUUGAUACGUCUCCAACGUACCUAUAAUUUUUUAUUGUUCCAUGCUAUUAUAUUAUCUGUUUUGGAUGUUUUAUAUGCAUUAAUAUGCUAUUUUAUAUUAUUUUUGGGACUAACCUGUUAACCUAGAGCCGAGUGCCAGUUUCUAUUUUUUCCUUGUUUUUGAGCUUCACAGAAAAGGAAUACCAAACAGAGUCCAAAUAGAAUAAAACCUUUGCGAUGAUUUUUCUUGGACCAGAAGACACCCAUGAGACUUGGAGUGCAAGUCAGAAGAGCCACGAGGCGGCCACAAGGGUGGAGGGCGCGCCUAGGGGGUAGGGCGUGCCCCCUACCUUGUGGGCCCCUUGGUGACCCCCUGACCUAGAUCUUCCUCCUAUAUAUUCACAUAUAUUCCCAAACCACCAGAAGCAUCCAAGAAAACACUUUUCCACCGCCGCAACCUUCUGUUCCCGUGAUAUCCCAUCUUGGGGCCUUUUCCGGCAUCCUACCGGAGGGGGAUUUGACCACGGGGGCUUCUAAAUAAACUCUAUUGCGCUUCCGAUGAAGCGUGAGUAGUUUACCGCACACCUAAGGGUCCAUAACUAGUAGCUAGAUGGCUUUUUCUCUCUCUUUGGUUCUCAAUACCAUGUUCUCCUUGAUUUUCUUGGAGAUCUAUCCAAUGUAAUCUUCUUUUGCAGUGUGUUUGUCGAGAUCCAAUGAAUUGUGGAUUUAUGAUCAGCUUAUUUGUGAAUACUAUUUGAAUCUUCUCUGAAUUAUUAUUAUAUGCAUGAUUUGAUAUCUUUGUAAUUCUCUUUGAACUAUCGGUUUAGUUUGGCCAACUAGAUUGGUUUUUCUUGCAAUGAGAGAAGUGCUUAGCUUUGGGUUCAAUCUUGUGAUGUCCUUUCCAAGUGACAGUAGGGGCAGCAAGUCACGUAUUGUAUUGUUGCCAUCGAGGAUAAAAAGAUGGGGUUUACAUCAUAUUGCUUGAGUUUAUUCCUCUACAUCAUGUCAUCUUACUUAAAGCGUUACUGUGUUCUUCAUGAACUCAAUACUCUAGAUGCAGGCAGGAGUCGAUCGAUGUGUGGAGUAAUAGUAGUAGAUGCAGGUAGGUGUCAGUCUACUUGACAUGGACGUGAUGCCUAUAUUUCAUAAUCAUUGCCUUAAAUAUCGUCAUAACUUUGCGCUUUUCUAUCAAUUGCUCGACGGUAAUUUGUUCACCCACCGUAUUAUUUACUAUCUUGAGAGAAGCCUCUAGUGAAACCUAUGCCCCCCGAGUCUAUUUUCCAUCAUAUAAGUUUCCGAUCUACUAUUUUGCUAUCUUUUAAUUUCCGAUCUAUAAACCAAAAAACCCAAAAAAUAUACUUUAUCUUUUGUUUAGAUUUAUCUAUCUCUAUCAGAUCUCACUUUUGCAAGUGACCGUGAAGGGAUUGACAACCCCUUUAUCGCGUUGGGUGCAAGUGUUUGAUUGUUUGUCCCUUCACGGUCACUUGCAAAAGUGAGAUCUGAUAGAGAUAGAUAAAUCUAAACAAAAGAUAAAGUAUAUUUUUUGGGUUUUUUGGUUUAUAGAUCAGAAAUUAAAAGAUAGCAAAAUAGUAGAUCGGAAACUUAUAUGAUGGAAAAUAGAUCAGGGGGCCAUAGGUUUCACUAGAGGCUUCUCUCAAGAUAGCAAAUAAUACGGUGGGUGAACAAAUUACCGUCGAGCAAUUGAUAGAAAAACGCAAAGUUAUGACGAUAUCUAAGGCAAUGAUUAUGAAAUAUAGGCAUCACGUCCAUGUCAAGUAGACUGACUCCUACCUGCAUCUACUACUAUUACUCCACACAUCGACCGACUCCUGCCUGCAUCUAGAGUAUUGAGUUCAUGAAGAACACAGUAACGCUUUAAGUAAGAUGACAUGAUGUAGAUGAAUAAACUCAAGCAAUAUGAUGUAAACCCCAUCUUUUUAUCCUCGAUGGCAACAAUACAAUACGUGACUUGCUGCCCCUACUGUCACUUGGAAAGGACACCACAAGAUUGAACCCAAAGCUAAGCACUUCUCCCAUUGCAAGAAAAACUAAUCUAGUUGGCCAAACUAAACCGAUAGUUCAAAGAGAAUUACAAAGAUAUCAAAUCAUGCAUAUAAUAAUUCAGAGAAGAUUCAAAUAGUAUUCACAGAUAAGCUGAUCAUAAAUCCACAAUUCAUUGGAUCUCGACAAACACACUGCAAAAGAAGAUUACAUUGGAUAGAUCUCCAAGAAAAUCAAGGAGAACAUGGUAUUGAGAAUCAAAGAGAGAGAAGAAGCCAUCUAGCUACUAGCUAUGGACCCUUAGGUGUGUGGUAAACUACUCACGCUUCAUCGGAAGCGCAAUAGAGUUUAUUUAGAAGCCCCCAUGGUCAAAUCCCCCUCCGGUAGGAUGCCGGAAAAGGCCCCAAGAUGGGAUAUCACGGGAACAGAAGGUUGCGGCGGUGGAAAAGUGUUUUCUUGGAUGCUUCUGGUGGUUUGGGAAUAUAUGUGAAUAUAUAGGAGGAAGAUCUAGGUCAGGGGGUCACCAAGGGGCCCACAAGGUAGGGGGCACGCCCUACCCCCUAGGCGCGCCCUCCACCCUUGUGGCCGCCUCGUGGUUCUUCUGACUUGCAAUCCAAGUCUCCUGGGUGUCUUCUGGUCCAAGAAAAAUCAUCGCAAAGGUUUUAUUCUAUUUGGACUCUGUUUGGUAUUCCUUUUCUGUGAAGCUCAAAAACAAGGAAAAAACAGAAACUGGCACUCGGCUCUAGGUUAACAGGUUAGUCCCAAAAAUAAUAUAAAAUAGCAUAUUAAUGCAUAUAAAACAUCCAAAACAGAUAAUAUAAUAGCAUGGAACAAUAAAAAAUUAUAGAUAUGUUGGAGACGUAUCAAGCAUCCCCAAGCUUAAUUCGUGCUCCUCCUUGAGUAGGUAAAUGAUAAAACAGAAUUUUUGAUGUGGAAUGCUACCUAGCAUAUUUAUCCAUGUAAUUUUUAUUUAUUGUGGCAUGAAUGUUCAGAUCCAUAAGAUUCAAAACAAAAGUAUAAUAUUGACAUAAAAACAAUAAUACUUCAAGCACACUAACAAUGCAAUUAUGUCUUCUCAAAAUAACAUGGCCAAAGAAAGCUAUCCCUACAAAAUCAUACAGUCUGGCUAUGCUCCAUCUUCAUCACACAAAAUAUUCAAAUCAUGCACAACCCCGAUGACAAGCCAAGCAAUUGUUUCAUACUUUUGGUGAACUCAUUCUUUUGGUGAACACAUAAAUCACCACUUUUUGUACUAUUGUGAACUCAUUCUUUAUUUAUAUUGGUGUAAUAUAUACUGUAUUCCAACUUCUCCAUGGUUCAUACCCCCCCGUACUACCCAUAGAUUCAUCAAAAUAAGCAAACAACACAUAGAAAACAGAAUCUGUCAAAAACAGAAUAGUCUUAUGUAACUCCAAAAUUCUGAAAAAUUAGGACAAGAGAGGAAAAUUUAUACCAAUCUUAUGUAAAAAGAAUUAGUAUUUUAUCAUGUUUCUGUGAUUUUUAACAAUUCUAGGACUGAGCGCAAAAGUUUCUGUUUUUCAGCAAGAUCAAAUCAACUAUCACCGUAAGCUAUCCCAAAGAUCUUACUUGACACAAACACUAAUUAAAACACAAAAACACAUCUAACCAGAGGUUAGAUGAAUUAAUUAUUGAAUAAUAGCAAGGAAAAAUAUUGGGUUGUCUCCCAACAAGCGCUUUUCUUGAAAGCCUUUUAGCUAGGCAUUGAUAAUUUUAAUGAUGGUCACAUGAAAGAUAGCAAUUGAAACACGAAGAGAGCAUCAUGUGAAAAACAAGUUUAAGUAUAACAUAAUUCAUAUGCAUUGGCAUUUUAUAGGCAAACAAAUAAUCAAGACAAGCAAAACCUAGCAUAUGUAAGGAAGAAGAAAGAAACAAUAGCAAUCACAACAAAACAAGAGGUAAUUUAGUAACAUGAAAAUUUCUAAAACCAUAUUUUCCUUUGUCAUAAUAAGUACAUGUGGAAUCAUACUCAAACUCAACAAUAUAGCUAUCACAUAACAUAUUCUCAACAUGAUCCACAUGCAUGCAAAGUUGACACUCUUCCAAAAUAGUGGGAUUAACAUUAACUAAAGUCAUGACCCCUCCAAACCCACUUUUAUCAAAAAAUUCAUAACAUUGAUCAUACUCCAAAGUAGUGGGAUCAUUAUUACCUAGAGUUGACAUUAUUCCAAACCCACUUUCAAUAUUAUUGCCAACAUAGUCAUCAUGAGGCUUAAAUCAAUUUUCAAGAUCAUAAGAAAAAUCACCCCAAUCAUGAUCAUUGCAACAAGUAGUGGACAUAGCAAAAUUUGCAUCCCCAAGCUUAAGGUUUUGCAUAUUAUUAGCACAAUUGACAUAGAAUUUGUAAUAACAUCAUUGCAAUCAUGCUUUUUAUUCAAAGAUCUAUCGUGAAUCACUUCAUAAAGCACUUCAUCACAAUUUUAGAUUCACGGAUUUCAAGCAAAACAUCGUAAAGAUAAUCUAGUGCGCUCAACUCACUAGCAAUUGGUUCAUCAUAGUUGGAUCUUUUAAAAAUAUUAGCAAGUGGAUGAGGAUCCAUAAAAUCUUUGCUUCUGAUCUUCAAUAAACACACAAUUAUACCAAGUAAACGAGCAAACAAACCAAGUAAGACAUAAGGGUAAAUGAAAAGAUGAACAAAAGAAGGCAAAUAAAAAGGCAAAUCUUUUCAAAAAUCAUUUUAGAAGUGGGGGAGUGGAAAACAAGAGGAAAAUGGCGAAUAAUGCAAUGCAAGAGAUGAGAGUUUUAUGAUGGGUACUUGGUAUGUCUUGACUUGGCGUAGAUCUCCCCGGCAACGGCGCCGGAAAUUCUUCCUGCUAUGAUACGUCCAUUUUGCAUCAUGCUUUUAUAUUGAUAUUUAUUGCAUUAUGGGUUGUUAUUACACAUUAUGUCACAAUACUUAUGCCUUUUCUCUCUUAUUUUACAAGGUUUACAUGAAGAGGGGGAAUGCCGGCAGCUGGAAUUCUGGGCUGGAAAAGGAGCAAAUAUUAGAGACCUAUUCUGCACAGCUCCAAAAGUCCUGAAACUUCACGGAAGUUAUUUUUGGAAUUAAGAAAAAAUACUGAAGAAAGAAUCCACCAGAGGGGGCCCACACCUUGGCCAUGAGGGUGGGGCGCGCCCUACCACCCUGGGCGCGCCCCCUGCCUCGUGGGCCCCCUAACAGGCCUCCGGUGCCCAUCUUCUGCUAUAUGAAGUCUUUCGUCCGAGAAAAAAAAUCAUAAGCAAGCUUUCAGGAAGAAGCUCCGCCGCCACGAGGCGGAUCCUUGGCAGAACCAAUCUAGGGCUCCGGCAGAGCUGUUCUGCCGGGGAAACUUCCAUCCGGGAGGGGGAAAUCAUCACCAUCGUCAUCACCAACGAUCCUCUCAUCAGGAGGGGGUCAAUCUCCAUCAACAUCUUCACCAGCACCAUCUCAUCUCAAACCCUAGUUCAUCUCUCGUAUACACUCUUUGUAUCCAAACCUCAAAUUGGUACCUGUGGGUUGCUAGUAGUGUUGAUUACUCGUAGUUGAUGCUAGUUGGUUUACUUGGUGGAAGAUCAUAUGUUUAGAUCCAUUAUGCAUAUUAAUACCCCUCUGAUUAUGAACAUGAAUAUGCUUUAUGAGUAGUUAUGUUUGUUCCCGAGGACAUGGGAGAAGUCUUGCUGUAAGUAGUCGUGUGAAUUUGGUAUUCAUUCGAUAUUUUGAUGAGAUGUAUGUUGUCAUCCCUCUUGUGGUGUCAUGUGAACGUCGACUACAUGACAAUUCACCAUUGUUUGGGCCUAGAGGGAGGCAUUGGGAAGUAAUAAGCAGAUGAUGGGUUGCUAGAGUGACAAAAGCUUAAACCCUAGUUUGUGCAUUGCUUCGUAAGGGGCUAAUUUGGAUCCAUAUGUUUCAUGCUAUGGUUAGGUUUACCUUAAUACUUCUGUUGUAGUUGUGGAUACCUGCAAUGGGGGUUAAUCAUAAGUGGGAUGCUUGUCCAAGUAAGGACAGUACCAAAGCAACGGUCCACCCACACAUCAAAUUAUCAAAGUACCGAACGCGAAUCAUAUGAACGUGAUGAAAACUAGCUUGACGAUAAUUCCCAUGUGUCCUCGGGAGCGCUUUCCUUCAUAUAAGAGUUUGUCUAGGCUUGUCCUUUGCUACAAAAAGGAUUGGGCCAUCUUGCUGCACCUUAUUUACUUCUAUUACUUGCUACUCAUUACAAAUUACCUUAUCACAAAACUAUCUGUUACCGAUAAUUUCAGUGCUUGCAGAGAAUAGCUUACUGAAAACUGCUUAUCAUUUCCUUCUGCUCCUCGUUGGGUUCGACACUCUUGCUUAUCGAAAAGGCUACGAUAGACCCCCUACACGUGUGGGUCAUCAAAACUCUUUUCUAGCGCCGUUGCUGGUGUGACGCCCCCGAUUUAAUCGUACACUAAUCAUACACGCAAACGUGUACGAUCAAGAUCAGGGACUCACGGGAAGAUAUCACAACACAACUCUACAAAUAAAAUAAGUCAUACAAGCAUCAUAUUACAAGCCAGGGGCCUCGAGGGCUCGAAUCCAAGAGCUCGAUCAUAGACGAGUCAACGGAAGCAACAAAAUUUGAGUACGGACAUAAGUUAAACAAGUUUGCCUUAAGAAGGCUAGCACAAACUGGGAUACAUAUCGAAAGAGGUGCAGGCCUCCUGCCUGGGAUCCUCCUAAACUACUCCUGGUCGUCAUCAGCGGGCUGCAUGUAGUAGUAGGCACCUCCAGUAUAGUAGGAGUCGUCAUCAACGGUGGCGUCUAGAUCCUGGGCCCCAACAUCUGGUCGCAGCAAUCUGGUAUAGGAAAGGGGAAAAGGGGGAGAAAAGCAACCGUGAGUACUCAUCCAAAGUACUCGCAAGCAAGGAGCUACACUACAAAUGUAUGCAUUGGUAUCAAAUGGAAAAGGGGGUAUCAUAUGUGGACUGAACUGCAGAAUGCCGGAAUAAGAGGGGGAUAGCUAGUCCUAUGGAAGACUAUGCUUCUGGUAACCUCCAUCUUGCAGUAGUGGAAGAGAGUAGAUGGUAAGUUCACCAAGUAGCAUCGCAUAGCAUAAUCCUAACCAAUGAUCCUCCCCUCAUCGCCCUAUGAGAGAGCGAUCACCGGGUUGUAUCUGGCACUUGGAAGGGUGUGUUUUAUUAAGUAUCCGGUUCUAGUUGUCAUAAGGUCAAGGUACAACUCCAAGUUGUCCUAUUACCAAAGAUCACGGCUAUUCGAAUAGAUUAACUUCCCUGCAGGGGUGCACCACAUAACCCAACACGCUCGAUCCCAUUUGGCCGGACACACUUUUUUGGGUCAUGCCCGGCCUCCGAAGAUCAACACGUCGCAACCCUACCUAGGCACAACAGAGAGGUCAGCACGCCGGUCUAAAUCCUAUGGCGCAGGGGUCUGGGCCCAUCGCCCUUUGCACACCUGCAUGUUGCGAACGCGGCUGGAAGCAGACCUAGCCUAGCAGGCGUUCCAGUCCAAUCCGGCGUGCGCCGCUCAGUCGCUGACGUCAUGAAGGCUUCGGCUGAUACCACGAUGUCGAGUGCCCAUAACUGUCCCCGCAUAGAUGGUUAGUGCGUAUAAGCCAGUAGCCAGACUCAGAUCAAAUACCAAGAUCUCGUUAAACAUGUUAUUCUGAAAUAACCACGGACGCCGACCAGGGCCAGGCCCACCUCUCUCCAAGGCGGUCUCAACCUGCCCUGUCGCUCCGCCACAAAGUAACAGUCGGGGGCCUUCGAGAACUCAUGCCCACCUCUAUCGGGAUGGAGCCACCUGCCCCUUCAGCCCCCAACAUCGGAAUCACUCACGGGUACUCCUACGAGCUGACCUGACUUUAACCACCACAAGUAUCAUAUAUUAUGUAUAAGUAUAUACCCGUGACCACCUCCCAAGUGAUCAUGGCCCGAUAGUAUAGCAUGGCAGACAGACAAGAAUGUAGGGCCACUGAUGGUAAACUAGCAUCCUAUACUAAGCAUUUAGGAUUGCAGGUAAGGUAUCAACAGCUGGAGCAACAAUGACAGGCUAUGCAUCAGAAUAGGAUUAACGGAAAGCAGUAACAUGCUACACUACUCUAAUGCAAGCAGUAGAGGGAAGAGUAGGCGAUAUCUGGUGAUCAAAGGGGGGGCUUGCCUGGUUGCUCUGGCAAGAGAGAGGGGUCGUCAACACCGUAGUCAUUCUGGGUAGUAGCAGCGUCGGUCUCGGUGUCUAGCGAGAGAAGAGGGGGAAGAAACAAUAAAUAUAAUGCAAACAAAUACAUGACGAUGCAUGACAUGACAAAGCGUGAUGCUAGGCGUGCCCUAACGCGGUACGAGGUGGACCGGUGAAGGGGGGAAACAUCCGGGAAAUUAUCCCCGGUGUUUCGUGUUUUCGGACAGAUGAAUCGGAGGGGGAAAGUUGUGUGUUCGCUAUACUAGGGAUGUGUGGCGGACGAACGAGCUGCGUAUCCGGAUUCGUCCCGUCGUUCUGAGCAACUUUCAUGUUGAAAAUAAUUUAAUCCGAGUUACAGAUUAAAAGAUAUGAUUUUCUAAAGAUUUACUAAUUUCUGGAAUUUAAUAACUAUUUAAUUUUAUUUGAAAAUGGAUUUAUGACAUUAGCAUGUUGUUAUGCUGACAUCAGCAGUCAACAGGGGUUGACUGGUCAACCUGACCAGUGGGUCCUACUGGUCAGUGACACAUUUUAAUUAAACAUAUCUAUUAACCUAAUCAGGAUUAAUUAGGGGUGGGUGAAAGUGCGUUAUAUCGACUAGAGGGGGGUGAAUAGGCAAUUUUUAUGAAAGUCUUCAAAACAUGGGAGUUAUGAAGACAAACAGCGAAGAUUAUGCCUAUUACUAUGCAGCGGAAGUUAGAUUACACUAGGCCAGCCAUGGUCAAGUAUUCAAUAGAGUGAAAGCACAACGACAAACAGCUGCAGUGUAAUAAGGAUCAGGUAGAAAGAAGUUAUGAAGCCAAACAGAUCAUACAUUCAUGUUGUGAAGACAAAAGAUAAAGCAAGCAUGCAAUGUCUUCAUAAUGAGUAACAGCAAGAAAAGGAAGUGAAGAUGAAACCAGUGACUCGUUAAAGACAAUGAUAUGUUGGACCAGUUCCAGUUGCUGUGACAACUGUACGUCUGGUAGGAGCGGCUAGGUAUUUAAACCUUAGGACACACAGUCCCGGACACCCAGUCCUGAACACACAAUUCAGGACACCAAGUCCUCACCGUAUUCUCCUUGAGCUAAGGUCACUUAGUCCUCGCCCAAUCACUCUGGUAAGUCUUCAAGGUAGACUCCCAAACCUUCACAAACUUCGUUCACCGGCAAUCCACAAUGUCUCUUGGAUGCUCUGAACGCAACGCCUAACCGUCUGGAGGAUUCACAGUCCUCAAGUGUAAUAAGUCUUCAGAUCACACAGACAAGAAGACUUAAGUGAUGCCCAAUUUACUCUGGCUCUGGGUGGUUAGGGCUUUUCUCCUCACUAGGAAUUUUCUCUCAAAGGCUUCGAGGUGGGUUGCUCUCAAACGACAAAAGCCGUGCACUGAAAUCUGAGCAGCCAACCGUUUGUGGUUGUGGAGGUGGGCUAUUUAUAGCCACUUGGCAACUCGACCUGAUUUGUCCGAAAUGACCCUGGGUCACUAAGGAACUGACACGUGUUGCAACGGUCAGAUUUCAAACUCUCAUGGCAACUUUACUUGGGCUACAAGCAAAGCUGACUUGUCCGGCUCUGGACAAGAUUCGCUCUCAUUGUCUUCGCUCGAAGACAUAGGUUUUCGAUUUAGGCAUCACUUCAGUCAUUCUGACUGGUUCUCCUGGACCCCACUUAAUAGUACGGUGGUUCCUAUGACUCAACACAAAAGAAAAGGAACUACGAAAGAUCUAAGUCUUCGAGCUCCAUAGGCUUCAUAACGUGUCUUCCUUUGUCAAAGUCUUCAAUGUGAAUAUCUUCAUAUACCACCUUUGUCUUCAAUGUCUUCAUACAUUUUUAGGGGUCAUCUCUGGUAGUAAAACCGAAUCAAUGAGGGACUUCUACCUGUGUUUUCCUGCAAUUCUCACAAACACAUUAGUCCCUCAACUAGGUUUGUCGUCAAUAUUCCAAAACCAACUAGGGGUGGCAGAUGCACUUACAAUCUCCCCCUUUUUGGUGAUUGAUGACAAACUAGUUGAAGUUUUCAAUGGGGAAUAUAAUGUGUGAAGUUUGUAAAGGGUAGGGAAUUGUCAUCAUAAGUUGCAAAGGCUCCCCCUGAAGAUGUGCAUAUAGAUUAAUUUUCUUUUGGAAUGCAAAUGCACAUGGCAGGUUGUACUUGAGGAGAUCCUCUUCAGCUUAUGAUGAUAAUCCACUAUGCAUGUGAAAGUAUAUGAAGAUAAUGACAUGCAUAAUGGAAAAUGGACGUCUGCAGAAUGAGAUAAGUGCGGAAUUUAUCAUCGCACAUGCGGAAUUUAUCUUCGCAAACAGAGUGGCAAACAAGUAGCAGACGACCAUCGAGUUUUAGUGUUUACAACUCAAAGAACCAAAUAAAGUAAAAGCAAGAGUUGUAAACACGAGGCAAACUAUAACAAAACAUAAGGCACCUGCCCAUAUUGACCCGCUUGAAGACUAUAAACAUCAUAUGCUUCUCCCCCUUUUGUCAGUAAUGACCAAAAAGGUUUGAAGACAUAGAGUUUUCUACGCGUUCCCAGGCGCAGCAGGGUUGGUGGAGUUGUUUGGCAGUGCAGAACUUGGAUGUGCUGAAGCAGAUGGUGGUGAUGUAGCAUCGUCGUCUUCAUCAAUGAUCCUUGCAGUAACUGUGGCAGCAGAUGAAGAAAACUCAGAGUCUUCAAGUGACGGUGUGUUGCGCAUCACAGCCCUUCUCGGAGGUGUGGUGUCAAAUUUGAAGCGCUCUGUGAAGCCAUCCUCUUCAAGUUCAGCUUCAGUGCAUAUCAUUGAGAGCCCUUUCCAUGUACGACGGCACGUCUCAUGAGUGACAAAAGCAUUCUUGGUGGCUAGGUUUCGAAGACGAUUGACAUCCACCAAGAGGCUCUUCAUCUGACGCUUUAGCCAGUCGUGAUGCCUAUCUUGCUUUUGGUGAAGGGCCACAAGAAGCUCUCGGUCAGUGAGGACAUGAGCACGCUUCUUGGGUCUUGGAGCAUUUGUGCUGUCUGUGGCUUCAGUAGAUGCUGGUGCACGUGUAGUGCCAUCCAACGGAUAUACCCUGGAUAUGGCUUCAACACCUUCAAGAUUCUGCAUGAAGCUCUGGUGUUCUGCAUUCUGAAGACUUAUCGGUUGUUUGGCAGCCUCAGGGUAUAUUGCUUCAGUAGAGGUAUCCACAUCUGGCAAGAAGAUCCGAUGGUUUCGGGCAGAGGGCUGAUACGAGAUCGCAGAGUGCAGUUUGAUUAGCCUCAUCACCCAAGGAGCAUAGAACUUCAAACCAAAUAAUUCUGAGCCUGACGCUGCAAGUUGACGUAUGAAGAAAUCCUGUGCAUUGAACCAUUUGCCAUGAAGGAUACAGAAUAUCAUAGUCUUCAUUGCACCCUCGAUCUUGGCGUGUGGUGAGUGUCCCUUAAUGGGCCAGAGAGUCCGCCGGAUGAUGUGAUAUAUGGUCCUGGGCAGGUACUCUAGGUCUUCAACGAAGAACUCAGUUGGAUAGGGUGCAUCCUGAGGCAAUGGCUUCAUCAUUGAGAGCAUCUGACUCAUAUUUGGUUCAGUCCUCUGGAAUAUGCUCGCAAUAGCUUCAACAUGUAGUUGACAUCCUUCCUCAUAGUAUUCGCCAGGAGUGGGCAGGCCGGUGAGCUCAAUGAUAUCGAAUGCAUUGGCUUCAUGAUGGACAUUUCCGGUCAUCCACUCCAGGACCCAAGUCAUCGGAUCUCUGUUGUAUCCUUUAAUGUGGAGGGUGGCAUAGAACUGAAGCAGAAGCUCUUCAUUCCAGUGCUCUUCAUCUGUGACAAACGGAAGCAGACCCACUUGCCUGAAGCAAUCCAAGGCUUCCUCAAGACAUGGCAGACCAGCAAUGGCUUCAACCUCAAGGCACUUGUGGGGAAAGAUGCGACCUUGGUUGUAUAAGAUGCAUGAGUAAUAGCUGCGCUAAGAAUAGCUCCAGAACCUGUCUGAUACAAUCCUUUCCCUUGAAUAGGGGUUCUUGGAGCUACUGAAAAAUGUAUUGUCUGCCUUGAAGCUGUUGAUGUCAAAGGAACCAGGUGCUGAUGCAGGACCUGGGAACCUUGGAAGCCUUGGGACUGGCUUCUGGACAUGAGGCCCGUGCUCAAUAUGAUAAUCGAAUUGAGGACCUGCAGCAGACUCAGGAACAGAAGUGUCUGGCUCGGUAGCUUCGCUGUCCGCUGAAGCAUUUGGUGGGGCGGGCUUCACAUUGGCUUCAGUGUUUGUGGUGGGAGCCGCAACAUUUUCUUCCUCCGCUUGUGUAGUUGGAGGGACAACCUCAGGCACGUUCUCAUGGAGAACUGCAUCUUGAUGGAGCGGGGAAGUGGGUUCUGGUGGUGCUUCUUCAUUGUCUUCGGCUGAUGCAGCCGGAAUUUCUGCAGUAUGGACUUGAGGCCGUGGACCUUUGCGAAGCCUACGGAACGCAGACGACGCUUGUGGGGUCGGAGUGGGCUGAACCUCAAAGUCUUCUUCCUCCUGAGGGCGAUCCGCCCAUGACUCAUCUUGUGCCAUUGGCGUCAGAGGACGACCAAUACUGAUGAGUUCGCUUGUUUCAAGCUGAGGAAGGGUUGCAUCAUCUUGUACAUUGUCUUGAUGACCAAUGUCUUCAGCAGCUAUUGGGUCGGCUGCUGGUAUGUCUUCAGCUUUAGGAGCCUCCGUGGGAGCAGGCUCAUGAACUGUCAGUCUUCUUUCUGCAUUGGGUUGAAGGACAGAGAGAGGUUCAACCAUCAAGGGCUCUGUGGGAGAAGCCCGAGAUUUCUUGAUCUUGUACUUCUUUUUGCUAGGGGCAAUAGGAGAGGCUUCAGUGCUCUUCCUUUUUCUGGCUUCAGCCUCUGCAGUUCUUGUCUUCUUUAGCUCUGAAGCUGUUGACCGGCUCUUUGGCUUCGAGCCAGUCGUUGCAGUGGGGAAGACAAUUUGAACCGCUUCUUGCCUAGGUGCCUCUGGUUCAUUCACAGAUGGCUCCUUCUUCUUCUUCGCGGCUAUCUUGGGUUCGAUGCCAGGACGCCCAAGUGCCUUGCGCUUUUCAGCCUCGUUGUAGGCUUGAACACAUUUGUCUGCCAAAGACUUCAUCCUUUCACGCGAGCCCUGAGCUUCAGCAUGCUUCUUCAGAAAGUUUUCUUUGAGCUCAUGCAGCAUGAUUUUGAAGCUCCUCACUUCCUGCACGCUGAGGCUGGCCAUGUGCUUCUUGAACUGAGCCUUUUCGUGAUCAAUUUUCUGCUUCAGCUCAACAAUGUGCUGAGCAAUGGCCAGUUCUGAAGCAAUUGCACCUUGGAAGGCGACACUGAGGCCAACUGGCAGCUGCAGAUCAUUGAAGCUUAUGUCUGGUGAUUCAAACCAUUCAUCGAUGAAGCUGUGGAUGAUGGCGACAUCAAAGAGAGGCAGAUUGUUGAAGAUUUCAGCUUCUUCUUUGCUUUUGAUAAGCUGCUCUAGAGCGUCAUCUCCCAGAUCUUCAUCGCUUGAUAGAUCAAUGGCUUCGCUGCGCAGAAUGGCAGCAGCAGUGAGCUCUUUGCCUGUUUGUUGCUGGGGCUCCUUUUCCUUCUGGGGCUUGGAGACGCGGGAUACGUCUUCAGACUGCACACUGACUUCAGGAGGUGCAGUUUUCAAAGGCUUCGCCCUUGAGAUUCUUGAGGCAGGGGCCGGCUUUGAAGCUUUUGGUUUCUUCGUCUGCUUUGGCUUCGGCACAACAGGAGCUUCAUCAGACUCAGAGACAGCUGGAGGGUCAUUCACGGCAGUCCCUUGUACUAAGAUGUGAGUGAUCAGGCCCUCAAGAUUGGCAAAAGGACCGAUGAUAUUGGGUUUGGCGUCGCGUGUUCCAUCUGCCCUUGGUGAGGAGGGACCAGGGUUGAAGUCUAACCCGAAUUUCUUCUUGUUUAGCUUCGCUGACUUUUGGGCAAACUGGAAGUUGCGCUUGAAGAGAUUGUCGUCACGACACCAGAGGAGUGACGACGGAUGCGCAUCAUCAGGCUGUGGUCCUCGGACCAUGCAUGGGUAGAAGCCUUGCGCAAUGGCUUCAUCUUUGGUUCUGGGUAAGAGGUUCUUGAAAUGGAUAUCCCCCCAUGGCCUCUUGAUGGCAUAUUUCUCUGCAUACUCCUGAGUGACGAAGCGGUAUUUGAACCACUGUUCUGCCCAAUAGCGUCGAAUCCAUUGGAUUCGGGUCUUGCGCUGCCCAUAGCUCUCUUCUGGAUCUGUUUUGUACAUUUCUGCCAAGUCUUCAGGCAGAUCUUUGGAAGUUCCCUCACGUCUCUGUCUGCCCUCCUUCCUUGCUGCUGCUUCUGAAGCCAUAAACUUUAACUUGAAAGGCUUCAAAACUUUCAAAGGCUUCAAAGGAUUUCUUUUUCUGGACCAACAGGAACUGGCUUCAGGAGAGUUUAUGUGAUGCUGUAGGAAUUCUGCAAAUGAAUGCAGACUAUGAGAACCGAAGGAUUCUCCCACAGACAUGUACCUGUGACAACAUUAAGGUGCGAGGGAAGGGGAAGAGGUCAUAUGCAUUCUCAGAAGGUUUUGAAGAUUAGUCAGUUUAGAAGACAUUGACCUCAUCGUGCGAAGACAUUCACUCAUAGAUAAGAAGUUGGUUCCAGAUUUGUACGAACCCACAUAUCAGUACAAGUGAGGAAUCUAACUACUUUAUGAAGCACAAGUGAAUAUACUAGGCAUGUUAUGAGAUGCAGCGAGAGAUCUAACUAGUGUGAAGAGAAACUUCUUAUGGUAGAAAGUGACAGAACCAUGAGAUCAAAGGGGCUGUAAAAAGAAGUUUUAUUUACCACACUGGAACUGCUAGACGGAAGGGAGUUGAUGCCGAGCAGUUCAGUCCUCUGUGCCCUAACUUGGCGACGGAAAACACCUACGGCGACGGCGGAGAGGACGAUGUCCGCGGUCGGCUUGGGGAUGGCGUUGGAGAGGUUGCGGCAGUGAAGCGCUUCGUCUCCGGCGUCGUCGAGUGCUAGCGGUGGCGCUAGGGUUCGUGUGAGGGUGGAAGAAUAUAAUGACUGCAGUAAGUGUGAACUUCUAGGCGUAGGGGCGGCACUGUGCUAUUACACAGGUGCCCCUGGCGGUUCGCAUUUGAGGAACGCGUGGCCAGUUAGCAGAUGUUUGGGGUUUGUUCCACGUCCUACGCAUGCCUAAAUUGUCGGGCGGUCGUUCCUGCUUCUCCGGAUUUUAUGUGGAGGAAUGAGCAUUAAAGACGGACUUUAUGGUUGUCUCUAUAUCCUCAGCUGACGCAGUGAAGACAUUCGACAGUUUCAAUAGAAUGAAUAUGACUUGGAGAGAUAGAUUUUGAGAUAGAAAGCAUAGAGAGAUUAGGGUCCGAUCACAUUCACUUAGUUCAAAAGAUUCAACCAACGAGACAUAGCUAUAAGUGAAUGCUGUAGAGGACAGAACACCAGCAUANNNNNNNNNNNNNNNNNNNNNNNNNNNNNNNNNNNNNNNNNNNNNNNNNNNNNNNNNNNNNNNNNNNNNNNNNNNNNNNNNNNNNNNNNNNNNNNNNNNNNNNNNNNNNNNNNNNNNNNNNNNNNNNNNNNNNNNNNNNNNNNNNNNNNNNNNNNNNNNNNNNNNNNNNNNNNNNNNNNNNNNNNNNNNNNNNNNNNNNNNNNNNNNNNNNNNNNNNNNNNNNNNNNNNNNNNNNNNNNNNNNNNNNNNNNNNNNNNNNNNNNNNNNNNNNNNNNNNNNNNNNNNNNNNNNNNNNNNNNNNNNNNNNNNNNNNNNNNNNNNNNNNNNNNNNNNNNNNNNNNNNNNNNNNNNNNNNNNNNNNNNNNNNNNNNNNNNNNNNNNNNNNNNNNNNNNNNNNNAUACAGGCAACAUAGUGAAGAUAAUCAUGAAGACAUGUUCGAAGCCAAACCAAAUGUGAAGACAACCAAAUGUGAAGAUAUUGCAAGGUAACGCCAUAAGUGAAACACUUAAAAAUAGAACGUUUGGUGGUGGCGUUACCCACCGUAUAGGAAGUAUUAGACCCAGACACGGCGCACAAUUCUUGUGGCGCUCCGAAGUCAAAUUCCACAUUAAUGUAUUCACACUUAGAAUGUAUGUCUUCAUUGAAUGAAGAUAUACUUUACUUUGUGUGUUGCACAUCUAAGUCAUCAAUAUGCAUAAGUGUUAGGAUGUGUGCCUGAUCACAGGACAUUUGAGGAUUCCAAAAUAUUUAGCUCACACCGUAACUUGCAAAAUCUCUUCUCAUCCAAGGGCUUGGUGAAGAUAUCCGCCAAUUGCUCUUCAGUGUUGACGUGUAUGAUAUCAAUAUCUUCCUUCACAACAUGAUCUCUGAGAAAGUGAUGACGAAUUUCAAUGUGCUUUGUCUUCGAGUGCUGAACUGGGUUGUUGGCAAUCUUGAUGGCGCUUUCGUUGUCGCAGUAAAGUGGCACUUGCUUUAGAUGAAUGCCAUAGUCCUUGAGUGUUUGCUUCGUCCACAGAAGCUGAGCGCAGCAAGAUCCAGCAGCAAUGUAUUCAGAUUCAGCAGUGGAAAGAGAUACACAGUUCUGCUUCUUUGAAGACCAACAUACAAGUGAUCGUCCCAGAAAGUGACAUGUGCGUGAUGUAGACUUGCGAUCAACCUUGUCACCAGCAUAAUCAGCAUCCGAAAAUCCAACCAAAUCAAACUCUGAGCCCUUUGGAUACCAUAAUCCUAGAGUUGGGGUGUGAGCCAAAUAUCGAAGAAUUCGCUUCACAGCUAAGUGAUGCGACUCCUUUGGUGCCGCUUGAAAUCGAGCACACAUGCAAACACUAAGCAUAAUAUCUGGCCUAGAUGCACAUAAAUAAAGCAAAGAACCAAUCAUGGAGCGGUAUACCUUUUGAUCGAACUCUUUACCAUUGUCGUCAGGACCUAGAUGAUGUUUGGCUGGCAUUGGUGUUGUGAAGCCUUUGCAGUCUUGCAUGCCAAACUUCUUCAGGCAAUCUAUGAGAUACUUCUCUUGAGAUAUGAAGAUGCCAUUGCGUUGUUGUCGUAUUUGAAGACCAAGGAAGAACUUCAGCUCCCCCAUCAUGGACAUCUGAUAUUGCUCUUGCAUCAUAUAUCCAAACUCUUCACUGUACUUCUGAUUAGUGCAGCGAAGAUAAUGUCAUCCACAUAGAUUUGGCACAUAAACAGUUCACCAUCAUAUGUCUUCGUGAAAAGAGUGGGAUCCAGGGAACCAGGUAUGAAGCCUUUGCUCUUCAGGAAGUAUUUGAGUGUGUCAUACCAGGCCCUAGGGGCUUGUUUGAGGCCAUACAGUGCCUUGUUGAGCUUGUAUACCAUGUCAGGAUGUUUUGGAUUUUCAAAGCCAGGUGGUUGUGCAACAUACACUUCUUCUUCAAUCUUGCCAUUGAGAAAGGCGCUUUUCACAUCCAUUUGAUAUAGAAGUAUGUUAUGAUGAUUUGCAUAAGCCAGCAGUAUGCGUAUAGCUUCAAGCCUUGCCACAGGAGCAAAUGUUUCAUCGAAGUCAAUGCCCUCCACUUGAGUAUAUCCUUGAGCAACAAGACGAGCUUUGUUUCUAACAACUUGACCAUGCUCAUCUUGCUUGUUGCGGUAUAUCCAUUUGGUGCCUAUUAUGUUGUGCUUCCAUGGAUCAGGACGCUUAACCAGUUCCCAUACAUUAUUCAGCUCAAACUAUUGAAGCUCUUCUUGCAUAGCUUGAAUCCAUUCAGGUUCCAUGAAGGCUUCUUCAACUUUCUUGGGUUCUGAUAUUGAGACGAAUGCGAAGUGCCCACAGAAGUUUGCUAGCUGAGUUGCCCUUGAACGAGUGAGUGGACCAGGUGCAUUGAUGCUGUCAAUUAUUCUGUUAAUCUGCACUUCAUUUGCAACGCGAGGAUGCAUAGGGCAAAGACUUUGCUCUUGCUGAUCUGCGUUGUUGUUGGGAGGAAUGUCUUCAGGCUGAGCAUUGUCUUCAUGUUGAUCAGGUGCUGAGAUGAUAAGUUCUUCUUCAGGAUGAGCUUCAGAAGGUAUAAUCUCUCCAGUUCCCAUAAGCUUGAGUGAUUCACUAGCAGGAACUUCAUCUAGCACAUUUGGCAGUUGCUCUCUUUGUGAACCAUUUGUCUCAUCAAACCGCUUCCACUGUUUCAACCACUUUGUAAUGGAAGAGAUUGAAGACUCUGUAGGAGUGUGAAUCCUUUCCAUAUCCUAGCAUAAAGCCCUCAUGUGCUUUUGGUGCAAACUUUGAGGUGUGGUGUGGGUCCUUGAUCCAGCACUUUGCGCCAAAUACUUUGAAGUAACUGACAGUUGGCUUCUUGCCAGUUAGGAGUUCAUAAGAUGUCUUGUUCAGAAGCUUGUGAAGAUAAACACGAUUGAUUGUAUGGCAUGCAGUGUCAAUGGCUUCAGUCCAGAAUUUUCUUGGAGUCUUGUAUUCAUCUAGCAUUGUUCUGGUCAUCUCAAUGAGUGUUCUGUUCUUGCGUUCGACGACGCCAUUCUGCUGUGGCGUGUACGGAGCUGAGAAUUCAUGUGUGAUGCCCAAGGUAUCAAGAUAUGUGUCAAGGCCAGUGUUCUUGAAUUCAGUGCCAUUGUCACUUCUUAUGUGCUUUAUCUUGGCGCUAAAAUUGUUCAUAGCUCGAUUGGUGAAGUGUCUGAAGACAUCCUGUACUUCAGUCUUGUAAAGGAUUAUGUGCACCCAAGUAUAUCUAGAGUAAUCAUCAACAAUCAUGAAGCCAUAGAGGCAAGCAGUAGCAGCAAAGGUUGAGUAGUGAGUGGGACCGAAGUGAUCCAUGUGGAGCAGUUCGAAGGGUUGUGUAGUAGUCAUGAUUGUCUUCGAAGGAUGUUUUGCCCUUGUCAUCUUCCCUGCUUCACAGGCACCGCAUAAGUGAUCUUUCUUGAACUUGACGCCCUCGAUGCCUAUGACAUGCUUCUUCUUCGCAAGGGUGUGGAGGUUCCUCAUGCCAGCAUGCCCAAGCCUCCGAUGCCAAAGCCAGCAUUCUGAGGCUUUUGCAAUAAGACAUACUGCAAGUUGUGGCCCUGCUGAGAAAUCUACCACGUACAGAUCAUCUUUUCGAUACCCUUCAAACACUAGAGACUUGUCAGAUUCCUUUAGUACUAGGCAACGAUAUUUUCCAAACAUUAUGAUCAUGUUCAAAUCGCAAAGCAUUGAGACAGACAUUAAGUUGAAGUCAAGGGAUUCAACAAGCAUGACUUUAUCCAUGUGUUGAUCCUUUGAGAUUGCAACUCUACCUAGACGCAAUACCUUACUUUUACCAGUGUCAGCAAAUGUGAUGUGGCUCUUGUCGGAUGGACGUAAGGUUGAGUCCAUAAGAAGGCUUCUUUUGCCAGUCAUGUGAUUUGUACACCCACUGUCAAUAAUCCAUUCUGAAGACUUUGAAGUCGCUGGUGUCGUACCCUACAGUGCAGUUAGGGGGAUAGGCUUCACGAAGAGAAUUGUGAAGCAAAAACAUUUGACGAACCAGUGGGUUAUGAAAACUUAGAUCCAGAUUAGGACUAAUAGGGAGAGUAGCAUGCGAUUCAGGAACGAGGUACAUAAUGAUGCCAUUCGGGCAUUUUAUCUUGCGCCCUACAAGAUUUUUAAGGUCCCCAGCAAUAGCGUCAGAAGAUUUUGUUUUUUUGCUGGAGACCUUUCCUUGCAAAAGAGAGUUAAGCUUUCUUAACCACCCACAUCUUCAAGGGUGGCUUAGAAGCAAUAAGUCUAAGUGCAGCAUCUGAGAAUUUUGGCUUUGAAGCCUUAGCAAACAGUCUAGCAGGUGGACAAUAAUACUCAUAGGAAUAAGCAGAAUAAUUUUUGGUCAUAUGAACAUGACGGUUCGAUGAACCGCUCUCAUAUUCAUAUGCCUGAGUAUGGUUUCCCUGCAAAACAUUUGUGUUAGUGUGACUCAGGUGAGUCCUCUGUUUGUAUGAAGCCAUUGGACCAUAUGAAGCCUUUGGUCUGAGGUUUGUCUUCUUCAAGUGAGGUGUCAUGAAGACAUUCACAGGAAGAUUUUCCAGACACUUUUUCAGAACCCAGAUCUUCUUCAUAGGCGGUCCAUUCCUGCAGCUAGUACCAAUGUACCUGGCAAACACUUCACCAUUCUGAUUCUUAAACAGUUUAUAGUUUGCAUCAAAGGAUUCAUCAAUGAUAAUGGGGUUAGCACAAGUGAAGCCAGAUAAAUUGGAUGGAUCUACUGAAAGUUCCUUUGCAGCAACCCAUGUGGUUUUGGGGUACUGCUCAGGUUUCCAGUAAGAGCCAUCUGCAUUUAUUUUCCUCACGAACCCAACACCCUCUUUCCUAGGGUUUCAGUUCAGAAUCUGCUUCUUGAGGACAUCACAUAAUGUCUGAUGUCCUUUAAGACUUUUGUACAUCCCUGUUUCAAGCAAUGUAUUCAACCUAGCAUUCUCAUCAGCAAUAGCAGUGGUAUCCUCAGCAGAGGGGUUAGUUACCACAUCAACAACUAAAGAUAUUGGAACAGCAGUAGCAGUGGAACAUUCAGCAACAGAAGUAGCAUUAUCACGCUCAAUGCAUUUAAUACAUGGUGUUUCAAAUCCUUCCUGAGCGGAACUGAUCUGUUCGGCGCGAAGUGACUCAUUUUCCUUUUGAAGAUCUUCAUGAGCCGCUCUCAAUUUCUCAAGUUCUUGCUUCCUUUAAAGAUAAUCAUAGGAAAGCUUCUCAUGAGUGGUUGAGAGAGUAUCAAGACGAUCUUCAAGUUCCUGAUACUUCACGCGAAGAUUUUUUAUGUCUUCAAUUAAGGAUUCAGAUCGAGUCAUUUCAGCACCCAACAGAUCGUCGCUUCUGUCUAACAGUUUUUAAAUAUGUUCCAUAGCUUUCUAUUGUUCAGUUGCAAUUUUAGCAAGUGUUUUGUAGCUGGGUUUUGAAUCACAGUCAGAGUCAUCGUCACUAGAUGUUUGAUAGCGAGUAGUGCGUGCGUUUACCUUGGCACCGCGUGCCAUGAAGCAGUAGGUAGGAGUGGAGUCGUUCUUGUUAUUUGCAUUGGUGUCGGUGAUGAAGUCAUUGUCUUCAGUGUUGAUGAUGGACUUGGCGACGUAUGCUGUAGCCAGACUCGCAAUGCCAGAAUCAGACUCCUCCUCAGACUCCACCUCUGCCUCCUCAGAAGCGGACUCCUCCUCUGAAUCCAUUUCCUUGCCAACAAACGCACGUGCCUUGCUAGAUGAGCUCUUCUUGUGUGAUGAAGACUUUGAGGAAGACUUGGAAGAAGACUUUGAGUAUUUCUUCUUCUUCUUGUCGUCAGAAUCAUAUUCCUUGCUCUUCUUCUUCCUUCUGUUCUCAUUGUCCCAUUGUGGACACUCAGAGAUGAAGUGUCCAGUUUUCUUGCACUUGUGACAUGUUUUCUUCUUGUAGUCAUGAGCAGAAGCUUCAUCAUUCCUUGAGCUUGAUCGUGAAGAUUUUCUGAAGCCUUUCUUCUUGGUGAAUUUUUGGAACUUCUUCACUAGCAUUGCAAGUUCUCUUCCAAUGUCUUCAGGAUCAUCAGAACAGCUGUCAGAUUCUUCUUCAGAUGAGGAAACAGCUUUUGCCUUCAAGGCACGAGUUCGCCCAUAGUUUGGACCGUAGAUAUCUCUUUUCUCAGAAAGCUAAAACUCAUGUGUGUUGAGCCUCUCAAGUAUGUCAGACGGAUCGAGUGUCUUGAAAUCAGGACGUUCUUGAAUCAUCAGGGCUAGGAUGUCAAACGAACUAUCAAGUGAUCUCAGCAGCGUCUUGACGAUUUCAUGUUUGGUGAUCUCAGUGGCGCCGAGGGCUUGAAGCUCAUUUGUGAUGUCAGUGAGCCGGUCAAAUGUGUGCUGGACAUUCUCAUUGUCAUUUCGCUUGAAGCGGUUGAAGAGGUUGCGAAGAACACUAAUUCUUUGAUCUCUCUGGGUUGAGACGCCUUCAUUGACCUUGGAGAGCCAGUCCUAGACCAGCUUGGAUGUCUUCAAGGCACUCACACGGCCAUACUGUCCUUUUGUCAGAUGGCCACAGAUGAUAUUUUUCGCAGUAGAGUCCAGUUGAGUGAACUUCUUGACAUCAGCAGCAGUGACACCUUCUCCAGCCUUGGGAACGCCGUUCUUGACGACAUACCAUAGGUCGACGUCAAUGGCUUCAAGAUGCAUGCGCAUCUUAUUCUUCCAAUAGGGAUAUUCAGUUCCAUCGAAGACGGGGCACACAGCGGAGACUUUGAUUAUCCCUGCAGUCGACAUAGCUAAAACUCCAGGUGGUUAAACCGAAUCACACAGAACAAGGGAGCACCUUGCUCUGAUAGCAAUUGAAAGUGCGUUAUAUCGACUAGAGGGGGGGGCUGAAUAGGCGAUUUUUAUGAAAGUCUUCAAAACAUGGGAGUUAUGAAGACAAACAGCGAAGAUUAUGCCUAUUACUAUGCAGCGGAAGUUAGAUUACACUAGGCCAGCCAUGGUCAAGUAUUCAAUAGAGUGAAAGCACAACGAUAAACAGCUGUAGUGUAAUAAGGAUCAGGUAGGAAGAAGUUAUGAAGCCAAACAGAUCAUACAUUCAUGUUGUGAAGACAAAAGAUAAAGCAAGCAUGCAAUGUCUUCACAAUGAGUAACAGUAAGAAAAGGAAGUGAAGAUGAAACCAGUGACUCGUUGAAGACAAUGAUAUGUUGGACCAGUUCCAGUUGCUGUGACAACUGUACGUCUGGUUGGAGCGGCCAGGUAUUUAAACCUUAGGACACACAGUCCCAGACACCCAGUCCUGAACACACAAUUCAGGACACCAAGUCCUCACCGUAUUCUCCUUGAGCUAAGGUCACUUAGUCCUCGCCCAAUCACUCUGGUAAGUCUUCAAGGUAGACUCCCAAACCUUCACAAACUUCGUUCACUGGCAAUCCACAAUGUCUCUUGGAUGCUCUGAACGCGACGCCUAACCGUCUGGAGGAUUCACAGUCCUCAAGUGUAAUAAGUCUUCAGAUCACACAGACAAGAAGACUUAAGUAAUGCCCAAUUUACUUUGGCUCUGGGUGGUUAGGGCUUUUCUCCUUGCUAGGAAUUUUCUCUCAAAGGCUUCGAGGUGGGUUGCUCUCAAACGACAAAAGCCGUCCACUGAAAUCUGAGAAGCCAACCAUUUGUGGUUGUGGAGGUGGGAUAUUUAUAGCCACUUGGCAGCCCGACCUGAUUUGUCCGAAAUGACCCUGGGUCACUAAGGAACUGACACGUGUCGCAACGGUCAGAUUUCAAACUCUCAUGGCAACUUUACUUGGGCUACAAGCAAAGCUGACUUGUCCGGCUCUGGACAAGAUUCGCUCUCAUUGUCUUCGCUCGAAGACAUAGGUUUUUGAUUUAGGCAUCACUUCAGUCAUUCUGACUGGUUCUCCUGGACCCCACUUAACAGUAUGGUGGUUCCUAUGACUCAACACAAAAGAAAAGGAACUACAAAAGAUCUAAGUCUUCGAGCUCCAUAGGCUUCAUAACGUGUCUUCCUUUGUCAUAGUCUUCAAUGUGAAUAUCUUCAUAUACCACCUUUGUCUUCAAUGUCUUCAUACAUUUUUAGGGGUCAUCUCUGGUAGUAAAACCGAAUCAAUGAGGGACUUCUACCUGUGUUUUCCUGCAAUUCUCACAAACACAUUAGUCCCUCAACUAGGUUUGUCGUCAAUAUUCCAAAACCAACUAGGGGUGGCAGAUGCACUUACAGUGGGCCCCACUGUCAUUGACUAAUUAAUUAGCUAAUUAACUAACUAGGUUAAUUAGAUAAGUAACGUUUAAUUAAUUUAGUUAUUUGAUUAGUUUAAUUAAUCAAAAUUAAUUAAGUUAAUUAUUUCUUUAAUUAUUUUUAUUUUAUUUUUUUAUCAUUUUCUCUUCUUCUUUUUUAAACGUUCAGGGGGCGUGGGGCCCGUUGUCAUUGGCCCCAGGGGGCUGAUGCGGGUUAACGGGCGCUGGGCGCCCGAUUGGGGGGGUAAACCCAGGCGCUGGCCUCGGGCACUGCUCGCCGGCGAGACAGAGCGCCACCAUGACGCGGGCGGCGGACGGCGCAGGGAACAGAGCAGGGCGGCGAGCGGGAGGGGCCGGAGCGGGGAAAUGGUGGAGGAGCAGCAGCAACAGAGGCAGUGGAGGGAGCCGGAGCGCGGGCGAGCAGAGGCAUGCGCGGCGGCAGCGCGCGCGGGAGGACGGAGGGACGGGCGCGGCCGUGCGCGACUGUGGCGAGGGCGCGGUGCAGCGGGGGGAAACGGGGCNNNNNNNNNNNNNNNNNNNNNNNNNNNNNNNNNNNNNNNNNNNNNNNNNNNNNNNNNNNNNNNNNNNNNNNNNNNNNNNNNNNNNNNNNNNNNNNNNNNNNNNNNNNNNNNNNNNNNNNNNNNNNNNNNNNNNNNNNNNNNNNNNNNNNNNNNNNNNNNNNNNNNNNNNNNNNNNNNNNNNNNNNNNNNNNNNNNNNNNNNNNNNNNNNNNNNNNNNNNNNNNNNNNNNNNNNNNNNNNNNNNNNNNNNNNNNNNNNNNNNNNNNNNNNNNNNNNNNNNNNNNNNNNNNNNNNNNNNNNNNNNNNNNNNNNNNNNNNNNNNNNNNNNNNNNNNNNNNNNNNNNNNNNNNNNNNNNNNNNNNNNNNNNNNNNNNNNNNNNNNNNNNNNNNNNNNNNNNNNNNNNNNNNNNNNNNNNNNNNNNNNNNNNNNNNNNNNNNNNNNNNNNNNNNNNNNNNNNNNNNNNNNNNNNNNNNNNNNNNNNNNNNNNNNNNNNNNNNNNNNNNNNNNNNNNNNNNNNNNNNNNNNNNNNNNNNNNNNNNNNNNNNNNNNNAGGGGGGGUGAGGGAGGAGAGGGGAACGUGCGAUGGGGACUGGGGGUUCGAUCUAGGUUACGGGGUGCGGGGAGGUUAAGUGGUGGGAGGCGGGCCGGUCGACUGGGCUAAAGCCCAGUGAGGGGGGAGGGGGUGUUCUCUUUUUUUUGUAUUGUGUUUUUCUUAAUUUUUCUUUUACUGUUUUUUUUCUUUUUAGUUUCUGUUUUCAAUCGAGUUUCCUUUUAUUUAUUUAUUUUUAGUUUUCUAAAAUAUAAACAUAGCCCUAAAAUUAGUAUUACUAUAUAGGCUACUGCCAUAACUAAUUUGGCACAAUAAUAAAAUAGGUUUGUAUUUGUUUAUUAUUUAAUGGUUUUAAUAAAAUGUUUUAGUCACUGUUUUAUUCACAAAAGAGCACUUAAAUACUUUUACAUAAAUUAUGGGUCAGCACCAUAAUUGGUUAUAGAAAUUUUGCCACAUUUUGAACAUUUUAUUUUGCAGGUUUGAGAAAUUUGAAUUUUGGACUUUAAUUGAUUUUGAAAUUUGAACCGGUUUCGAACCAACGCAAGUUAUCAAUAGUAAGCGUGGUGACGUGGCAUCAUUAACGGGGGAUUACUGUAGCCUAAUUAUCCGGGCGUCACAAUUCUCCUCCACUACAAGAAAUCUCAUUCCGAGAUUUAGGAGGGGAGUAAGGGGGAAAGACUAGGUUGCGCAAUUCUAAUGGGUCUUCUCGGUCUUUGUUGUACUUCCCGAAGUAGUUGAUCCUUUACGUUGAUGUCUCCAUUUCUCUACUUCAGGUCAUCUUGACGAAGUUGCAUCCUUUCUUCAGGGUCGGUCUCGUACUUACGAAUAGGUAAGGGGCAAUUCGACAAUGAUAGAGUGCUAUAAGGGUUAACCAUUGGGGGUUACCCAUGAAUGAACACAGGGGUAUCUCUCGAGUUGGUCAAAUGAAACACAUCGAGAGCCAAGCAAGAGGGUAUAGUAAGAAGUAUGAAGCGGAUAGGCAAUCGUUCGAUGCCCAAUUAGAAGGUGAAAGGGUUUCAGGGCACGAGAAUAAGUAUUGCGCCUAAUACCAGAGUAGAUCACUAGGAAGGUGACCUGUCAAUUACAUAUGUAGCCAGGCUCAAGGAAUAACUUUGGCAAUAGGGUGUACAGGAGAGUCAGGUUUCGAUCCCGUGGAACUGUGGGUUAUGGGCCCACCAUGUGGGUUAAAAGUAGGAAGGGCGGAGACGUCUUGCGUGAUCAUGCAAGAAAGGCAUGUCAGAGGGUAGCCUGUUGAUUAUGUCGGCAACAACAUCGAUACCAAGGGCGAGGGACGAAGAGAACCAUUUUCCUGCUCGUUGAACGAGGCGGACCAAUAGGCAAAGUUCUCGUCCAUCGGUGGUUACCGAAAUGUCAUCAACAAUGGUAACAGGGUCUUGCUGACAGAGUUGUACACCGAGGUGUUUACAUAAGCAAUAGAAUAAUACUGCUUAGAUUAUAUAGACCUCAAGAAAGGUUAAACCAAACAAUGGAAAGGACAUAUGAUUAUCAGAUUACUCAGGCGAUGGAAAGGAAAAAUGUGUUUUAGUCAUAUAAUUCAGGGAUAUAUCCUUCCCAAGGACAAGUAGAGCAUGAUAUCUAUGACAGGAUAUAAUGUAGAAAACUCUUUAGGUAAGGGGAGAGAAAUUUCAGGACAUUACCCAUACAGCGGUGUUUGGAUAAUUGAGCAGGGAACAUUUAACAUUAGGCUUUAAAUGUUCUUGUUGAAAAUUGGAGUACCAUAUAUAUAUGCUUCGAGAUAGCAUUGACAUGGUCUUCAGGCAAAGGUUAGACUUUGGAAACACAAUGGAUCCAUCAGGAAUAACUUGUAGAAUAAGUCUUACAAUUUCCUCAUGGAAGAAUGGAUAACCUUGCUGAAAAGGAAUCUAUAACCAUAGGGCCUCCGGCCAGGUGUGCUAAGCACGACAUCCUUGAUAUAAAAGAUGGUAAUAUUCCAAGGUAAAGAAGAACAAAUGUUGGGUAGCAAGGAACUCAAGGUACAACACAGAACACGAACAAGUUUGUGUUGGAGGGAAGGCAAUAAAGUUGUCGAUGAUAACACAAUUCAUCGAGGGGCAAGGAUGAUAUUUCUCAUCAUGACUUCGAUUGAUAUUCUAGAAGAGCUCAUAAGAUUGAUGAUGAUCACGACACAAUUGUUGAGAGAUUUCAUGAAGAUGGAAUCCAUCGGUGAUGACAUCAAGUCAAAAGAAUGAUGAAGCGAAAGGUUAUUGGAACCACGGGUAUGGCACAAACUCAAAACCAAGCUUGUGGUUUAAAGAGAAAUGAUAUGAUGAGGAAAAUCGACGUAAGCUUAGCUCAUCAUCGAAAAGUGUGCUCCGGGAAGAAGGACCAAGUAGCACAGUUAAGAGCAGCACGAUAAGGAAUAGCCGAGCAGGCUAGGAAUGACGUGAUCGAGUUCAAACUCGUAAGUAAUGAAGGUUACCAAGAGUUGUUUAAUCGCGGUGCGGACUUGAGUCAGUUAUCGGUGUCUUUGAGUGUUAACUAACUCAGAGCCCAUGAAAAAUUGGAAUCAAUGAGAAUGUAGCACUUGAUGAAGAACUCAUAAGAAGUUAUGCAGUCCCGUGAUAAUCUUGAGAUACCAGGGGGUAAUACUCGACGACAAAUCAAAGCAGAGGUUGGACUGGGGUAUUACUCCGUAGAAGACAAGUGCUUAAACUUGCCCAUGAAAUGGGGUCAAAGAAGAACAUAUGGUCGAAACCACGAUUGAAAAACGCCGGAUCCUAGAUAUAAGAACUUAUACUAAGGGGAAAAUUUAAUUUAAGAGCAGCUUUAACGGUAAGAUAUACAUCGUGUCCAUGGGCAUGAACACAAAGUUCAAGGUCGACUCCCACUUCUUCAAUGCAUAACCUUUCAUUCACUACUCUAGUUAAAAAUGAUUUCAGUGUCAAAACCUACCUGGUGAAUUACCAGAGGAGUAUGACCCGUGAAAACUUCCGGGUUCACAUAGAUUAAGAAAGGCAUAGGUUCAACCCGUCAGGGUAUCGUGGAAUCAUAUACCACAAGCUCCAAUCAUAAAUAACACAAGCUCGAAAGUAGAGCAUGGUUGACAAGGCAGAGGAUACAAUUUACCAAAGGUAUUAUAUAACGGUGGAAAGGCUCACAAGGUUAUUGAAAAUGAUGUCAGAUGAAAUCCAACAAUGGAUCUGACGAUCCACAACGGAGCUGAUGUGAGUAUCGGUACUCUACCAGAAGAAGAAAGAAUGCAAGGGGAUCAGCUGAUAAAAACAACUAACUAACUCAAAGCUCAAUGUAAGGAAAUUUUAUGAUUUCCAAAUCAAGGGAUCAGAAGCAAUCGUUCUGAUCGAAAAUGAAUAAGUUCAAUAGACUUAGAAGCACAAAUGAUCAAGGCAUUGAUUGGUCAAGAACCAACUCAUAUCCAAAUGACGUCUGAGCCGGAAGGAUGAAUCCUAGGAUUCGACUGAGGAAUGCGGGCAUCCUCAACAUAUUGAAUCAACGGACUUAAAAUGAUAAAGACAAGGGAGGCCAAUAAGAUUAAGAAACUUAUGGGAUUAACCAUAAUUCAAGCAAGCAAGAAUUUCAAGAGCAAUAGGCUGCUCGGGAUUUUUGGAAGAUCGAAUGAUAUUUUGAAGUCUUUGGCGAAAAACAUGAACAACUUGGAAUGAGCGGAUACUCGAUAAGUGCGAGAAUUAUCCGUAGGGGUAUUUAGGUGACAGAGAACAGCAAGGCAGUAAGCUCAAAGGAUUCUCGGAACAACAGAGAGAAUUUCGAGGUAUCCCGUAAUAACAAGAUCAGCUGGGAAGCGUCGUAUGAAAGGCGAGUAUACGUGGUUAUCCACAGGGGUUUAUCGGUGGAAGGGAAUUGCAAAAGCGACGCCAUAAAGUCUCAAGAGAACAUCGGAGAGUAUCUUAGGAUUCUUCUGGUGCAGCAGACGAUCAUCUGUAAUAAGGGGCUCUCCGGAGAAAGCAUUAUCGGGAACCUAGAGUCAGAGUUAGUAAAAUCGUUUAACCCGAAUAGAAGAGAUGUUAGAGUCCCAGAGUAUAGGUUGAGGAAUAAAAGAUCCUACUACCACCCAAUGGCGACGUGUGCCCGUAAGACACACAGCCAUGUUAGUAAAAGUUUUUCAAUGUCUAGACUCAACUUCGGCCAAGGAGUUGAAAAGGGGAUUCCUACAGGCAGUCGGCUCUGAUACCAACUUGUGACACCCCCGAUUUAAUCGUACACUAAUCAUACACGCAAACGUGUACGAUCAAGAUCAGGGAAUCACGUGAAGAUAUCACAACACAACUCUACAAAUAAAAUAAGUCAUACAAGCAUCAUAUUACAACCCAGGGGCCUCGAGGGCUCGAAUCCAAGAGCUCGAUCAUAGACGAGUCAGCGGAAGCAACAAAAUUUGAGUACAGACAUAAGUUAAACAAGUUUGCCUUAAGAAGGCUAGCACAAACUGGGAUACAGAUCGAAAGAGGUGCAGGCCUCCUGCCUGGGAUCCUCCUAAACUACUCCUGGUCAUCGUCAGCGGGCUGCACGUAGUAGUAGGCACCUCCAGUAUAGUAGGAGUCGCCAUCGACGGUGGCGUCUAGAUCCUGGGCUCCAACAUCUGGUCGCAGCAAUCGGGUAUAGGAAAGGGGAAAAGGGGGAGAAAAGCAACCGUGAGUACUCAUCCAAAGUACUCGCAAGCAAGGAGCUACACUACAAAUGUAUGCAUUGGUAUCAAAUGGAAAAGGGGGUAUCAUAUGUGGACUGAACUGCAGAAUGCCGGAAUAAGAGGGGGAUAGCUAGUCCUAUGGAAGACUAUGCUUCUGGUAACCUCCAUCUUGCAGCAGGAGAAGAGAGUAGAUGGUAAGUUCACCAAGUAGCAUCGCAUAGCAUAAUCCUAACCAAUGAUCCUCCCCUCAUCGCCCUAUGAGAGAGCGAUCACCGGGUUGUAUCUGGCACUUGGAAGGGUGUGUUUUAUUAAGUAUCCGGUUCUAGUUGUCAUAAGGUCAAGGUACAACUCCAAGUCGUCCUGUUACCGAAGAUCACGGCUAUUCGAAUAGAUUAACUUCCCUGCAGGGGUGCACCACAUAACCCAACAUGCUCGAUCCCAUUUGGCCGGACACACUUUUCUGGGUCAUGCCCGGCCUCGGAAGAUCAACACGUCGCAGCCCUACCUAGGCACAACAGAGAGGUCAGCACGCCGGUCUAAAUCCUAUGGCGCAGGGGUCUGGGCCCAUCGCCCUUUGCACACCUGCACAUUGCGAACGCGGCCGGAAGCAGACCUAGCCUAGCAGGCGUUUCAGUCCAAUCCGGCGCGCGCCGCUCAGUCGCUGACGUCACGAAGGCUUCGGCUGAUACCACGACGUCGAGUGCCCAUAAAUGUCCCCGCGUAGAUGGUUAGUGCGUAUAAGCCAGUAGCCAGACUCAGAUCAAAUACCAAAAUCUCGUCAAACGUGUUAUUCUGAAAUAACAACGGACACCGACCAGGGCCAGGCCCACCUCUCUCCUAGGUGGUCUCAACUUGCCCUGUCGCUCCGCCACAAAGUAACAGUCGGGGGCCUUCGGGAACUCAGGCCCACCUCUACCGGGAUGGAGCCGCCUGCCCUUCAGCCCCCUACAUCGGAAUCACUCGCGGGUACUCCUAUGAGCCGACCCGACUUUAACCACCACAAGUAUCAUAUAUUAUGUAUAAGUAUAUACCCGUGACCACCUCCCAAGUGAUCACGGCCCGAUAGUAUAGCAUGGUAGAUAGACAAGAAUGUAGGGCCACUGAUGGUAAACUAGCAUCAUAUACUAAGCAUUUAGGAUUGCAGGUAAGGUAUCAACAGCUGGAGCAACAAUGACAGGCUAUGCAUCGGAAUAGGAUUAACGGAAAGCAGUAACAUGCUACACUACUCUAAUGCAAGUAGUAGAGGGAAGAGUAUGCGAUAUCUGGUGAUCAAAGGGGGGGCUUGCCUGGUUGCUCUGGCAAGAGAGAGGGGUCGUCAACACCGUAGUCGUACUGGGUAGCAUCGGCGUCGGUCUCGGUGUCUAGCGAGAGAAGAGGGGGAAGAAACAAUAAAUAUAAUGCAAACAAAUGCAUGACGAUGCAUGACAUGACAAAGCGUGAUGCUAGGUGUGCCCUAACGCGGUACGAGGUGGUACCGGUGAAGGGGGGAAACAUCCGGGAAAUUAUCCCCGGUGUUUUGCGUUAUCGGAAAGAUGAAUCGGGNNNNNNNNNNNNNNNNNNNNNNNNNNNNNNNNNNNNNNNNNNNNNNNNNNNNNNNNNNNNNNNNNNNNNNNNNNNNNNNNNNNNNNNNNNNNNNNNNNNNNNNNNNNNNNNNNNNNNNNNNNNNNNNNNNNNNNNNNNNNNNNNNNNNNNNNNNNNNNNNNNNNNNNNNNNNNNNNNNNNNNNNNNNNNNNNNNNNNNNNNNNNNNNNNNNNNNNNNNNNNNNNNNNNNNNNNNNNNNNNNNNNNNNNUCGUUCUGAGCAACUUUCAUGUUGAAAAUAAUUUAAUCCGAGUUACGGAUUAAAAGAUAUGAUUUUCUAAAGAUUUACUAAUUUCUAAAAUUUAAUAACUAUUUAAUUUAAUUUGAAAAUGGAUUUAUGACAUUAGCAUGAUGUCAUGCUGACAUCAGCAGUCAACAGGGGUUGACUGGUCAACCUGACCAGUGGGUCCCACUGGUCAGUGACACAUUUUAAUUAAACAUAUCUAUUAACAUAAUCAGGAUUAAUUAGGGGUGGGCCCCACUAUCAUUGACUAAUUAAUUAGUUAAUUAACUAACAAGGUUAAUUAGAUAACUAACAUUUAAUUAAUUUAGUUAUUUGAUUAGUUUAAUUAAUUAAGUUAAUUAUUUUUAUUUUUAUUUUAUUUUUUAUCAUUUUCUCUUCUUCUUUUUUUAAACAUCCAGGGGGCGUGGGGCCCCCUGUCAUUGGCCCCAGGGGGCUGAUGCGGGUUAACGGGCGCUGGGCGCCCAAUUGGGGGGAGGGGAGGGGGGGUAAACCCGGGCGCUGGCCUCGGGCACUACUCGUCGGCGAGACAGAACGGUGCAGGGAACAGAGCAGCGCGGCGAGCAGGAGGGGCCGGAGCGGCGAAAUGGUGGAGGAGCAGCAGCAACAGAGGCAGCGGAGGGAGCCGGAGCGCGAGCGAGCAGAGGCAUGCGCGGCGGCAGCGCGCGCGAGAGGACGGAGGGAGGGGCGCGGCCGUGCGCGACCGUGGCGAGGGCGCGGUGCAGCGGGGGAAACGGGGCGGUGAGCGACCGGUGCAUGCGAGUCGCGUCAGCGUGGGGUGACAGGCACGUCUAGACGGAGCGGCGCGCGGCCAGGGCGCGGCCCNNNNNNNNNNNNNNNNNNNNNNNNNNNNNNNNNNNNNNNNNNNNNNNNNNNNNNNNNNNNNNNNNNNNNNNNNNNNNNNNNNNNNNNNNNNNNNNNNNNNNNNNNNNNNNNNNNNNNNNNNNNNNNNNNNNNNNNNNNNNNNNNNNNNNNNNNNNNNNNNNNNNNNNNNNNNNNNNNNNNNNNNNNNNNNNNNNNNNNNNNNNNNNNNNNNNNNNNNNNNNNNNNNNNNNNNNNNNNNNNNNNNNNNNNNNNNNNNNNNNNNNNNNNNNNNNNNNNNNNNNNNNNNNNNNNNNNNNNNNNNNNNNNNNNNNNNNNNNNNNNNNNNNNNNNNNNNNNNNNNNNNNNNNNNNNNNNNNNNNNNNNNNNNNNNNNNNNNNNNNNNNNNNNNNNNNNNNNNNNNNNNNNNNNNNNNNNNNNNNNNNNNNNACGGCAAGGUCGAUCCAGCGAUGGCAGCGGGUUCCGGGGCGCCGACAAGGAGCGACGGGGUGGCGCGCGACAUCGGCGUCGGCGGGGUCGGGGCGCGGCUGUCUCCAGAUCUAGAGGAGAGAGGAGAGAGGGGUGCGACGGGGUCGAGGCGGCAAAGGCGGGGCGACGUCGGGAGACGCCGACGGCGAGGUGGGCACCGGGGUCGGGGCCCGAUCCGGAUCGAGGGGGAGUGAGGGAGGAGAGGGGAACGUGCGAUGGGGAGUGGGGGUUCGAUCUAGGUUACGGGGUGCGGGGAGGUUAAGUGGUGGGAGGCGGGCCGGUCGACUGGGCUAAAGCCCAAUGAGGGGGGAGGGGUGUUCUUUUUUUUGUAUUGUGUUUUUCUUAAUUUUCUUUUACUGUUUUGUUUUCCUUUUAGUUUCUGUUUUCAAUCAAGUUUCCUUUUAUUUAUUUAUUUUUAGUUUUCCAAAAUAUAAACAUAGCCCUAAAAUUAGUAUUACUAUAUAGGCUACUUCCAUAACUAAUUUGGCACAAUAAUAAAAUAGGUUUGUAUUUGUUUAUUAUUUAAUGGUUUUAAUAAAAUGUUUUAGUCACUGUUUUAUUCACAAAAGAGCACUUAAAUACUUUUACAUAAAUGUUGGGUUAGCACCAUAAUUGGUUACAGAAAUUUUGCCACAUUUUGAACAUUUUAUUUUGCAGGUUUGAGAAAUUUGAAUUUUGGACUUUAAUUGAUUUUGAAAUUUGAACCGGUUUCGAACCAACGCAAUUUAUCAACAAUAAGCAUGGUGACGUGGCAUCAUUAACAGGGGAUUACUGUAGCCUAAUUAUCCAGGCGUCACAGCUGGGGAGUGAAGCGUCUUUGGUAGGUGGAAUUUGGUAAGGAAAAAUUUAUAUAGUGUGCUGAAAUUUACUGUCACUUGUUACUAUGGAACAUAAUCCUUUGAGGGGCUUGUUCGGGGUAUCUUCACCCUGACUAGUAGAGCAAAGAGUUGCUCCUCAACCUACUGAACCUACUGAAAAUGUUUACUUUGAAAUUACUUCGGGUAUGAUAGAGAAACUGCUAGCUAAUCCUUUUGCAGGAGAUGGAACAUUGCAUCCCGAUUUACACUUAAUCUAUGUGGAUGAAGUUUGUGGAUUAUUUAAGCUUGCAGGUAUGCCCGAUGAUGUUAUCAAGAAGAAGGUCUUCCCUUUAUCUUUGAAGGUAGAUGCAUUGACAUGGUUUAGGCUAUGUGAUGACAUUGGAUCAUGGAAUUACAAACGAUUGAAAUUGGAAUUUCAUCAGAAGUUUUAUCCUAUGCAUCUUGUUCAUCGUGAUCGUAAUUAUAUAUAUAAUUUUUGGCCUCGCGAAGGAGAAAGCAUCGCUCAAGCUUGGGGAGGCUUAAGUCAAUGUCAUAUUCAUGCCCCAAUCAUGAGCUCUCAAAAGAAAUGAUUAUUCAAAAAAAUUAUGCUCGGCUUUCUCUUAGUAAUCGCUCCAUGCUCGAUACUUCUUGUACUGGAUCUUUUAUGAUGAAGACUAUUGAAUUCAAAUGGGAUUUAUUGGAAAUAAUUAAACGCAACUCUGAAGAUUGGAACCUCGACGAAGGUAAGGAGUCAGGUAUAACACCUAAGUUUGAUUGUGUUAAAUCUUUCAUGGAUACCGAUGUUUUCCGUGAAUUUAGCACUAAAUAUGGACUUGAUUCUGAGAUAGUAGCUUCUUUCUGUGAAUCCUUUGCUACUCAUGUUGAUCUCCCUAAGGAGAAGUGGUUUAAAUAUAAUCCCCCCAUUGAAGUAAAAUUAGUUGCACCUAUUAAAGUUGAAGAAAAGACUAUUACUUAUAAUGAUCCUGUUGUUCCUACUGCUUAUAUUGAGAAACCACCUUUCCCUGUUAGAAUAAAGGAUCAUGCUAAAGCUUCAGCUGUGGUCAACAAAAGUAAUAUUAUGACACCCAAACCCCCUGAGCAAAUUAAAGUUGAACCUAGUGUUGCCAUGGUUAAAUAUCUCUUGGCCGAUAAUAUCGAUGGGCAUGUUAUUUACUUCUGUGAUGAAGGUGCUAGAAUUGCUAGACCUGAUACUAAAAAUAAACAUAGACCUGUUGUAGGUAUGCCUGUUAUUUAUGUUAAAAUAGGAGAUCAUUGCUAUCAUGGCUUAUGUGAUAUGGGUGCUAGUGCAAGUGCAAUACCUCAUUCCUUAUACAAAGAAAUUAUGCAUGAUAUUGCACCUGCUGAGAUAGAAGAGAUUGAUGUUACAAUCAAGCUUGCCAAUAGAGAUACUAUUUCACCAGUUGGGAUUGUUAGAGAUGUUGAAGUCUUGUGUGGGAAAGUUAAAUACCCUACUGAUUUUCUUGUUCUUAGUUCCCCACAAGAUAACUUUUGUCCCAUUACAUUUGGUAGACCCUUCUUGAAUACUGUUAAUGCUAAGAUAGACUGCAAUAAGGAUAUUGUUUCUGUUGGUUUGGGGGAUAUGUCCCAUGAUUUUAAUUUUGAUAAAUUUUGUAGACAACCCCAUGAUAAAGAAUUGCCUAGUAAAGGUGAAAUUAUUGGUCUUGCUUCUAUUGCCGUGCCUCCUACUGAUCCUUUAGAACAAUAUUUGCUAGAACAUGAAAAUGAUAUGUUUAUGAAUGAAAGAAGGGAAAUAGAUGAAGUAUUCUUUAAACAGGGACCUAUUCUGAAACACAACUUGCCUGUUGAAAUCCUAGGGGAUCCCCCUCCACCUAAGGGCGAUCCUGUGUUUGAGCUUAAACCUUUACCUGAUACUCUCAAAUAUGCUUAUCUUGAUGAGAAAGAGAUAUGUCCUGAUAUUAUUAGUGCUAACCUUUCAGAGCAUGAAGAAAAGAAAUUAUUGAAAACUCCGAGGAAGCACUGUGCUGCUAUUGGAUAUACUCUUGAUGAUCUUAAGGGCAUUAGUCCCACUCUAUGCCAGCACAAAAUAAAAUUGGAGAAGGAUGCUUAACCGGUUGUUGAUCACCAAUGAUGGUUAAAUCCUAAGAUGAAAGAAGUGGUAAGAAAAGAAAUACUAAAGCUUCUUGAGGCAGGUAUAAUUUAUACCAUUGCUGAUAGUUAGUGGGUAAGUCAUGUCCAUUGUGUCCCUAAGAAGGGAGGUAUUACUGUUGUUCCUAAUGAUAAAGAUGAAUUGAUCCCACAAAGAAUUGUUAUAGGUUAUAGAAUGGUAAUUGAUUUCUGCAAAUUAAAUAAAGCCACUAAAAAUGAUCAUUACCCCUUACCUUUUAUUAAUCAAAUGCUAGAAAGAUUAUCCAAGCAUACACAUUUUUGCUUUCUAGAUGGUUAUUCUGGUUUAUCUCAAAUACCUGUGUCAAAAGAGGAUCAAGAAAAGACAACUUUUACUUGCCCUUUCGGUACCUUUGCUUAUAGACGUAUGACUUUUGGUUUAUGUAGUGCACGUGCUACUUUUCAAAGAUGUAUGACUGCUAUAUUCUCUGACUUUUGUGAAAAGAUUGUUGAGGUUUUCAUGGAUGAUUUCUCCGUUUACGGAACUUCUUUUGAUGAUUGCUUAAGCAACCUUGAUCGAGUUUUGCAGAGAUGUGAAGAAACUAAUCUUGUCUUGAAUUGGGAGAAGUGCCACUUUAUGGUUAAUGAAGGUAUUGUCUUGGGGCAUAAAAUUUCUUAAAGAGGCAUUGAAGUUGAUAAAGCUAAAGUUGAUGCUAUUGAAAAGAUGCCAUGUCCUAAGGACAUUAAAGGUAUAAGAAGUUUCCUUGGUCAUGCCGGUUUUUAUAGGAGGUUCAUUAAAUACUUCUCUAAAAUCUCUCGGCCUCUGACUAAUCUCUUACAAAAAGAUGUCCCUUUUGUCUUUGAUGAUGACUGUGUAGAAGCAUUUGAAAUACUUAAGAAAGCUUUGGUUUCUGCACCUAUUAUUCAACCUCCUGAUUGGAAUUUACCAUUUGAAAUUAUGUGUGAUGCUAGUGAUUAUGCUGUAGGGGCUAUUCUAGGACAAAGAGUUGAUAAGAAAUUAAAUGUUAUCCAAUAUGCUAGUAAAACUCUAGACAGUGCCCAAAGAAAUUAUGCUACUACUGAAAAAGAAUUUUUAACAGUUGUAUUUGCUUGUGAUAAGUUCAUACCUUAUAUUGUUGAUUCUAAAGUAACUGUUCACACUGAUCAUGCCGCUAUUAAAUAUCUUAUGGAAAAGAAAGAUGCUAAACCUAGACUUAUUAGAUGGGUUCUGUUGCUACAAGAAUUUGAUUUGCAUAUUAUUGAUAGAAAGGGAGCUGAGAAUCCCGUUGCAGACAACUAGUCUAGGUUAGAGAAUGUUCUUGAUGACCCACUACCUAUUCAUGAUAGCUUUCCUGAUGAACAAUUAGCUGACAUAAAUGCUUCUUGCACUACUCCAUGGUAUGCUGAUUAUGCUAAUUACAUACCACCUAGUGAUACGUCUCCAACGUAUCUAUAAUUUUUGAUUGUUCCAUGCUAUUAUAUUAUCAACCUUGGAUGUUUUAUAUGCAUUUAUAUGCUAUGAUUUUUGGGACUAACCUAUUAUCCUAGAGCCCAGUGCCAGUUUCUAUUUUUUCCUUGUUUUAGAGUAUCACAGAAAAAGAAAAUCAAACGGAGUCCAAUUGACCUGAAACUUCACGGAACUUAUUUUUGGACCAAAAGAAGCCCACGGAGUAUCGAGGAUGGAUCAGGAGAGUCCCGGGCUGCCCGCGAGGGUGGGGGGCGCGCCCACCCCCCUGGGCGCGCCCCCUGCCACGUGGACAACCCGGAGAUCCACCGACGUACUUCUUCCUCCUAUAUAUACCCAUAUACCCUAAAAACUUCGGAGAGCAGAAUAGAUCGGGAGUUCUGCCUCCGCAAGCCUCUGUAGCCACCAAAAACCAAUCGGGACCCUGUUCCGGCACCCUGCCGGAGGGGCGAACCCUCACCGAUGGGCAUCUUCAUCAUCCUGGCGCUCUCCAUGAUGAGGAGGGAGUAGUUCACCUUCGGGGCUGAGGGUAUGUACCAGUAGCUAUGUCUUUGAUCUCUCUCUCGUGUUCUUGAGGUGAUACGAUCUUGAUGUAUCGCGAGCUUUGCUAUUAUAGUUGGAUAUUAUGAUGUUUCUCCCCCUCUACUCUCUUGUGAUGAAUUGAGUUUUCCCUUUGAAGUUAUCUUAUCGGAUUGAGUCUUUAAGGAUUUGAGAACACUUGAUGUAUGUCUUGCGUGGGAUACCCGUGGUGACAAUGGGGUAUUCUAUUGAUCCACUUGAUGUAUGUUUUGGUGAUCAACUUGCGGGUUCCGCCCAUGAACCUAUGCAUAGGGGUUGCCACACGUUUUUUGGGGCACUCUUUGAAGUACUUUGUGUUGGUUUGAAUAGAUGAAUCUGAGAUUGUGUGAUGCAUAUCGUAUAAUCAUACCCACAGAUACUUGAGGUGACAUUGGAGUAUCUAGGUGACAUUAGGGAUUUGGUUGAUUUGUGUCUUAAGGUGUUAUUCUAGUACGAACUCUAUGAUAGAUUGAACGGAAAGAAUAGCUUCAUGUUAUUUUACUACGGACUCUUGAACAGAUCGAUUAGAAAGGAUAACUUCAAGGUGGUUUCGUACCCUACCAUAAUCUCUUCGUUUGUUCUCCUCUAUUAGUGACUUUGGAGUGACUCUUUGUUGCAUGUUGAGGGAUAGUUAUAUGAUCCAAUUAUGUUAUUAUUGUUGAGGGAACUUGCACUAGUGAAAGUAUGAACCCUAGGCCUUGUUCCAACGCAUUGCAAUACCAUUUACGCUCACUUUUAUCAUUAGUUACCUUGCUGUUUUUAUAUUUUCAGAUUACAAAAACCUAUAUCUACCAUCCAUAUUGCACUUGUAUCACCAUCUCUUCGCCGAACUAGUGCACCUAUACAAUUUACCAUUGUAUUAUGUGUGUUGGGGACACAAGAGAAUCUUUGUUAUUUGGUUGUAGGGUUGCUUGAGAGAGACCAUCUUCAUCCUAUGGCUCCCACAGAUUGAUAAACCUUAGGUCAUCCACUUGAGAUAAAUUUGCUACUGUCCUACAAACCUCUACACUUGGAGGCCCAACAACGUCUACAAGAAGAAGGUUGUGUAGUAGACAUCAAGCUCUUUUCUGGCGCCGUUUCCGGGGAGGUUAGCGCUUGAAGGUAUAUCUUUAGAUCUUGCAAUCAAAUAUUUUUGCUUCUUGUUUUAGCACUAGUUUAGUUUAUAAAAGAAAGCUAAAAAAAUGGAAUUGAGUUUAUCUCAUAGGCUUCAUCUUUUUAAUAUCUUUCGUGAGUAUGAUGGGAAGGGAAAUUGUGCCAAAGUGUUAGAAGAAUAAUGCAUUAAAAUGUUUGGCACUAAAUCGUUGAAUGAUGAGAAUGAUUGCAAUGUUGUUAGUAUGAACUCCUUGAAUAUCCAUAGUACUAAUGAUGAUUGCACUAGUUAUGAUGAAAAUGUCUCCUGUAAACAUGUCAAUUUUUGUGGAGUGCAUUGGGUUUGCAAGUACACACCAAAUAGGGAAGAUAGAUAUUGCAAGAGGCAUAAGCAUUUAGAAACUAAAUGGUUGCAAGAAAGGCUAAAUGUUAGUGCUGAAAAUUUAAAAUUUCUUAGCCAUACUUGUGAACUUUGCAAUGAACAUGGUCAUUUAAAUAUCAAAUGCAAAUUGUUUCAUGAUCAAAUCGUGUCCGAAAAUUGUGAUGACUUGAUUUCCCUUGCACAUCAUAAUGAACUUAGUUUGCUUUUUGGGUUAUUAAGAAAUGAAACAUCAAACUAAGAUUAUUCCAGAAUAUAAUCUCGAGAAAUUCCUCGAUAUUGAUCUAGAAGAAAUUUAUAUGUAUCGUGCGGUGAACUGCAUUGAAAAUCCUUAUAUUGCCAAUUACAUAAAGAAAAUAAAACAAAUAGAAGAUGAAGAUAAUACUAAUGAAAGGUAAGAGACUUCCCAAUAUCCUCCUAUUAUUUCUUAUGAUGAAUCAGGUAACGAGGAGGAGCCUUCUAUUCAACCAAUCUCAUUAAUAAGGAGCUCCAAAAAGAGGAUUGAACCCACACAUGAUGUGAAGAAGAAAAAGAAAAGACGGAGAAGCAAAGGUAGAAAGGUAUCCCUCCCAAAUGAUGUUGCUCCUACUACUCAUUGUGAUGAUGAUAAUUGCUAUACUAUCGGUGCUAUCCAUACUAUUAAUGAUGAGAGUGACUAUGCUUAUGAUAUGAAAAGGCCCAAGCUUUGGGAUGCUAUGUUUGAUGAAGAUGAUGUUUUUGAGAAUGUAUUUUAUGCAAUUAAUGUUAGUCCCAAGCUUGGGGAAGCUAUGUUUAAAGAAGAUGAUAAUUGUAACCUCCCAAGUUUUGAUAUGCAAAUUUAUUAUGAUGAUAGCAUGCCUCCUACUUAUGAGGAUUAUAUUGAUGAAAGUGGGUUUGGAAGAGUGUCAACUUUAGGAAGUAAUGAUCCCACUAUUUUGGAG